This 62557-nucleotide long non-coding RNA is filed under the name Triticum aestivum (bread wheat). RNAcentral describes it as "long non-coding RNA (TAES_LNC009215)". The record is from RNAcentral. Lineage: Eukaryota; Viridiplantae; Streptophyta; Magnoliopsida; Poales; Poaceae.
UUUUUUUUUGUUUGAAAAUCUGCCUCUACAGCAUGCAGUUGUUUUAGGACCACUACAGCAAGCAGCUUUUCUUUUAGACAAACAACAGCAAGCAGUUUUUUUUUUUUUUGAGACAACUACAGCAAGCGGCUGGCUAGCAAAGAUGGAUGCUACAAUAAUCCAUGGGCCCGCCCAGUCGGGGCGGUUCCUACCCUCCGUGCGGGAGGCCGACUGCUUGACGCUCAGCGCGUAACCCUAAAAAAACAAAGCUUACAUCGUCCACGUUCUAGGGCGAGGUAGUCCGAUGGAUGCAAGGGAUCGAACCCUAAUCCUCCCCAAUAAAUAAGCACAAACGGAAUAAAGGUAGAAAUCAAACGCAAAACAGAAUAAAGGUUCGGAUCUCUUGCUAUUUUUUAGAGGAAAAACGAGGGGGUGAUGGCGGCGAAGAGGUCUCUUCCGCCGUGGCUGUAUGGCGAAGAGAAGGAGCGCAUGGAGCGGUACAGGACCGAGCGCGCCGAGCUGUUGCUGCAGGGCCAUGAUCCCGACGCCAUCAUGGACCGCUGGGAGGAUGAGCAGAAACGCCGGCAGAUUAGCAGCGGGAGGCGCGUUAGGUGUGUGGUCGAGAAGGUUGGGGGCGUGUUUUACGUCCGGAAAGUGGUAGAGGACGUGGAGGAGAUUCGCAAGGGGUGCGAGAAGGAGACGGCCAACGGCGACGCUCCAGCCGCCGCCGGUCAGAUCCGCGAGGAAAAGGAGGAAAAAUCUGCCGGCGAGGCACCAGCUUGUGCGGUCGCCGCCGGUCAGACAAGGGAGGAAAAGGAGGCAGCGAACGGCGACGUAAUAACAGGCGCUCAGAUCAGGGAGAUGCAGGUAGCCGGAGACGUCGUCGGUGCAUUUACCAGCGUCUAACAAUGCAUCGUAUCUGGGAUAAAAAAAUCAAUCUUACUUGCAUCCAUAUCUUGCAUAUGCAUGGACAAGCUUGAAACAGUGGUGAUUGUUUGGCAUUUUUUCUUCUUCUUUGGAGCAUGCACGCUGAAGGAUGCCCUGUGAAAUCCUCAUGUAUAUCCUCUAAAAUGUAUGGGAACUGUUCAUAAUAUUUCUUCGGUUGAAGAUCACGACUACAGACAAUCUUAGCAAGGGGGGCAACAAGAAACAUGUAGAAUGUGUUUUUUGCAAAUACUUCGAAAUUGUUCAUCACCUCCUUUAACGUAUGUAUAGUUGUAUUUUGGGCUAGAUUUGUCAAACUUUUUUUUCAAAUAGAGUCAAAAGCUUUGCCUUUUUCAUUAAUUAAGAAAAAGAUAGUUUGCCCGGUUAAUUGGCGAAAAAACGGAUGAAAGCCAAUACAUUUGGAACCUAGCACAUGCAACGACCCCAACAGCCAGCAAAAACCACGCAGAUGGCAAGCUACAACAAAAUAAUCCACGAAACCACAUGCGGACUACUCCCAAAAUAAAUAAAUAAACAUCAGAUCCCUCAGAGCGGCACUUACCGAUUGGUUGAUAUUCUUCAUAUUCUUCCCAUUGGCAAGGCGACACAACCCUUGGUGAUCGAAGGCAUGCCAAUUAGGCCUUUGAUCAGCUAGGUGAAGUCGUGUAGUGUGUGCUCGCCCUCAUUCGCAAUAGUACGACCUAUUGCAAUAGCUUGCACGUCGUCGGAGGUAGCAGCAAGGCUGCAAUCAGAGGCCACCUAUCAAAGGAGGCCAUUGCCCUGACCGAUGCAAGUUGCCCACUAGACUCCAUGGGAGUGGCUAACCUCCUCGAUACCUUGGUCCAAACUUUGAGUUUGUUGCUAGAGAGUGGGUGCUUUUACUGGAAUUUUGUCUAUUUUGGGCCUAACUCAAUAGUAGUUUCAAAAAUUCCUAAUAAAUCCUAAAGGCCCACACAGCCUAUUCGUGCAAGGCAAGAGGUGGAACUAAAGUUUAGUCCCACAUUGCUAGUUUAGAGGGAGUUGGACCUCUUUAUAAGGGAGAUUCUUUCCCCACUUGUAUGAGCAUGAGAACAAGAGGGACAUCCACGCGCGCUCCUCCUCCGCCGCCCGCCGCGCCGCGCCGCGCCGCGCGAACGGUGCAGGCUGUUCGCUACAUCUCCGUCUCUUCGAUUGCUUGACAUUAAUCCUCUCAUACCUACUAAUUGGUGUACUUGAGAUGCAUUUCCUCUCGCUCCUGAAAAAGACAUUAGAUAGACUGGAUUAGAAGGAUCCGUUAUCCAAAAAUUUGAAUUCAUUUCUUCUUUCAAAUAUUCACUUGUCGCAUACCAUAUCUCAACAAAUUGGCGUAAUUUUUCUACCGCGUGUACAGCCCCAUAAUAAUAGUGUUUCUCCAAAAGAAAACUAUGUUGUUCCGCCUCUUGGACUAACCAUCCCAUAGAGGUUAUUGUUAAAAGAUCUUUGAUUCCUAACGAAGUCGAUUUCGCUUCAACUCCGUCUCUUCGUUUCGCCUCCCUCGCACCUCCCAGAGAGACGCACCAGAACUACUCCUUCCCUCGCCAUCGGUUCCAUCUCUGAGCUGCUGCUGUCUUCCUCAUCCCGGCUUGAGGCGUGCACCGCACAUCGGGACAGUACGCCUCCGAAACCGCACCUUUUGAGUCCUGUACGGGAGAAGGGUGAUAAGGUUUUUGGGGAGCACUCAGGGCGACUACUGGCUGCUUCAUCACGGAUGAUCCGGUCGCCGACGACUACCUCCUCGACGACAUGGCAGGCGAGGACACCGACCCCAAGUCCAGCGCUUCUGCUGCUGCUGUCCCGUACAGUUCUUCUCCUUUCUAUUAGAGGUCCUGCUGCAGUUCCUUGUUCUAGUAUUUGCCUUAGAUAUGUUAGACUCUAUUUCACAUAUGCAACUACUAUCUGCUCUAGAUAUGUUUAGUUACAGUUCAUAUAUGAAUAUGUUGUUUACCUUCUCUUUGUCAAAUCGCAUGGCUUGUUUUGUCACUACUAUUAUGGUCAUGCUUUAUCUAGUAUUUCUGUUAAUAAAAUCAUUCGGUAAAUUGCUCAAAUUUCCAACAAUCCAAAAACCUUAUUAUAGGCAAUUUACCCCGAGUGGUUUUGCUGCUUCCAUGAAACCUCCUAUGUUUGAGGGUAUCCACUAUAAGAGGUGGCGCGUGAGAGCAGUCUUAUGGUUUCAAACCAUGAGUUGCUAUGACGCCACUCUUGGCAAACCUGAAGGAGAGCUUGAUGCUCAACAGGCACAAGCUUUUCAGAAAAUGGAUACUCUGUUUAAGGCUGCUCUCUUGAGUGUUCUUGGUGAGAACAUAGUUGAUGCUUAGGCGUCAACUGAUAAUGGAAAAGAUAUGUGGGAUGCACUCGAGGCCAAGUUUGGGGUCUCGGAUGCUGGCACUGAGCUGUACAUCAUGGAGCAAUUCUAUGAUUACAGGAUGACUGAAGAGCGCUCCGUGGUUGAGCAAGCUCAUGAGAUACAGUCAUUUGCUAGAGAACUUGAGCACUUCAGUUAUAUGCUACCGGACAAGUUUGUUGCCGGAGGUAUCAUCACUAAGCUUCCUCCUUCGUGGAGGAACUUUGCUACCUUACUGAAGCAUAAGAGACAGGAGUUUUCCGUCCCGGAUCUCAUUGGCACUCUUGAUGUGGAAGAAAAGGCGAGAGCAAAGGAUACACGUGCUCGAGGUAUUGAGGGAGGAUCUAGUGCCAAUCUGGUACAGAAGAAGAACUUCCAGCCCCACAAGUUCAAGAACAAGGGCAAGUUUGAUGGUAAAGCAAAGUUUGAUGGGAAGAACAAGGCUGUGCAGCAUACGAACUUCAAGAAGAAGAAUGACAAGAAGAAAGGUGCUUGUCAUGUGUGUGGCGAUCCUGAUCAUUGGGCUCCUAGUUGCCCAAAUCGCUAUGACAAGCGUCAUCCUGGGAAAGGCAGCAAGACCGCUAAUGUUGUCAUUGGAGACACUGACAUGAAGGAUGAUGGGUAUGGUAUAUUUCCCACUAUUCUUUCAGUAUGUCAUUCUCCUGAUUGGUUGAUUGACACGGGUGCUAAUGUGCAUGUAUGCGGUGAUAUUUCCAUGUUUUCGUCUUAUCAAACCGCAGGGACUUCAACCGUGCUGAUGGGCAACGGUUCAAGUGCUUCUGUUCAUGGUGUUGGCACGGUCGAUCUGAAGUUUACUUCGGGGAAGAUCGUGCGGCUGAAGAACGUGCAUUAUGUCCCCUCCGUCAAUAAAAAUCUUGUUAGCGGAUCUCUUCUGUGUACAGAUGGCGACAAGCUUGUCUUUGAGUCGAAUAAAUUUGUAAUAUCCAAGUAUGGAACCUUUGUUGGUAAAGGUUAUGAGUCAGGAGGCCUGUUUCGUUUAUCCUUAUCAGACGUUUGCAAUAAAGUUGUUAAUCAUAUUUGCAACAAUAGUGAAUCAAAUGUGUGGCAUUCACGUCUUUGUCAUGUUAACUUUGGUUGCAUGUCGCGACUAGCGAAGUUGAACUUAAUCCCUAGUUUCACCACUGUCAAGGUAUCUAAGUGUCAAAUGUGUGUGCAAGCUAAGCAACCUCGUAAGUCUCACACGACUGCGGAAACGAGAAAUCUUGCACCACUAGAGCUCAUACAUUCAGAUCUAUGUGAAAUGAAUGGUGUUUUGACAAAAGGUGGAAAGAAAUAUUUCAUGACGUUAAUUGAUGACUCCACUAGAUACUAUCGUGUGUAUCUUCUGAAAUCUAAGGAUGAGGCUUUGAACUUUUUCAAGAUCUAUAAAGCUGAAGUGGAAAAUCAACUUGAUCGGAAAAUCAAGAGGCUUAGGUCCGACCGUGGUGGAGAAUAUUUUUCCAAUGAAUUUGAUGCUUUUUGUGCGGAACAUGGUAUAAUCCAUGAGAGGACGCCUCCCUAUUCGCCUCAGUCAAAUGGGGUGGCCGAAAGAAAUAACUGUACUCUAACUGAUUUGGUUAACGCCAUGUUAGACACAUCGGGUCUCUCCAAGGCAUGGUGGGGGGAUGCGAUAUUGACGGCAUGUCAUGUCCUAAACCGAGUUCCCACAAAGAACAAAGAGAUAACUCCAUUCGAGGAAUGGGAGAAGAAAAGGUUAAAACUCUCUUAUCUACGAACAUGGGGUUGUUUGGCGAAAGUCAAUGUUCCAAUUCCAAAGAAGCGGAAGCUUGGACCAAAGACUGUGGAUUGUGUCGUGGAAUUGUCACGGCAGAUGUCCUUGGGCUAGGACUUAGUCGUGGAGCCAUCGCAACUAGGAAGCUUGAAGGGGUUAUGCGGGACAAGGAACACGAGGGUUUAUACUGGUUCGGCCCCUUACGGUGAAGGUAAAAGCCUACGUCCAGUUCGAGGUGUUAUUGAUUAGGGUUACGAUCGCCAGGGAACUAAAUACUUAUCCCGGCUCUCGGAGAGAUUGUUGUCGUCCCCAAACCGCUGCCGGGUCGUCCCUUUAUAUAGGGAGGCUGACGCCCAGCAGCCCUUAGAGUCCCGAGCCGGCUCAUAAGAGUGUCCGGCUCGGGCUCUAAAACAAUACUUGCCUUACACUACAAGUCUACUAUAACAAUGAUUGUAACUACGGCUUUAAGCCAUAUCCGGGUCUCAGCCCAUCUCUGGCCCAUUAUCCUGAAACUUAGCUCCGGGCUUCUGGUAAUGAUCCUUGGAGUAACCCGGCCCUCCUGGCGGGUGACCCCCAGGUCCAUAUCCUCAACAUUAGGCCCCAGAUUGACUUGAGCCGGCUCGUGUCAAUCUUCAGCUCCGCAGUCAGAAAAAAUCUCCGGCUUAUCAUUCAUGUGAAGGUCAUAACCCGGAGUGACGUCAUCCUCUGGACUCCGGGUAAUCCGCCGUGACGUCAUCCUCCACUAAAUCCGUUUUUUACUCCGCCAGAUCCGCAACGGAUCUUUGCUUUUACUGACCUUCCGAGAAUCGAGGCGCCGUGAGGGGGGAGAUAACCACGCCGUGGCCUCCUCAAAUCCCGCGCCCGCUUAUGACUCGGCCUUAUAAAUAGGCCGGCCCGGCACUCUCUUCUUCACAUUCUCCUUCUUCCUCGCACUGCCGUUCCUCUGCCCGAGCUUCUGCCGCCGCUGCCGUCGCACCCCUGGUCUUCCUCAACCCGGCCGCUUGCAUCAACCUGACUCGGACCAGAUAACGUCGGCGACCUCCGCUCUUCUCCAGCUCCGGUGAGUCCCCUCCGCCUUACUAGCAUAGAUCUAGGACAGAGUUCAUCUGUGUUCUUCAUGUUCAUCACUGUUACCGCAAGUUUUCGGUAACCCCUGUAGGCACUGCCCCCGUUGAUCCUUAGGCUUGUGUAGAACCACCGCGGUAGAUAUCUGAGGUUCAUUUCUUCUGCAAGAACACCUCUUUUUACUGCAUAAGGACUGGGUUCCAUCUCAAGAACCUCCCCUGCUUCUGUUUUUUAGGUCUAGAAAACUUUCUCUGCUCCGACUACUUUGAUCCAAAAAAGUUACUGUAAUAUGCGAAAUCUGUUUACCACACUUAGUAAAAACUGCAGUCCUUGAAUCUUGGCGGCUUAUAUUUCCGACUUAGAGAAAACACGCGCCGUAGAACUUUCCGGUUUAAAGAGAAUCAUGCUCUGUAGUAUCUUCCGACUUAACCGCAGUAAACCGUAGACGACCAACUUAUCCUGAAAACCCCGACGGCUUAGAUAACCCACCAUAUCAAGACAUACCAUUAGUCCCCUUCAUAAGCCGUCAUUAACCCGGACACUUUUCUCUUCCUCGUAGACCACCAACCGUCACCAUGCCUCCCAAGGCUCCCAUCACUUGCAACUGGAUGAAAUCCAGCGUCACCGAAGAGACCCUGGCCAACUUCGUUAAAUCCGGAUAUCUGCCUAAGAAGGAAGUGAUGUCCUACCGUGCCCCUGACCCGUCCGAAGAAAGGCCACAGCCGAGAGACGGGGAGGUAGUGAUCUUUGCUGACCAUAUGAGCCGGGGCUUCGCACCGCCCGGCUCAAAAUUCUUCCGGGACGUGCUCAACUUCUUUGAUCUUCGGCCUCAGGAUAUAGGACCCAAUUCCAUAUCCAACAUCUGCAACUUCCAAGUUUUUUGUGAAGUAUAUCUUGGAGAAGAGCCGAGUCUGCUGCUCUUCAGAGAGCUGUUCUAUUUGAACCGCCAAACCGAGUGCGCAAACGGUCCAAGUCUAGAGUUAGGCGGCAUCUCCAUCCAACGGCGCAGGGAUUGUCUGUUCCCUUAUGCAGAACCGCCAAGUCACCCCAAGGACUGGAAUAUGACUUGGUUCUACUGCCAAGACACGUCCCCGGCUGAUGAGAGCCCGCUGCCCGGCUUUCGCCCAACGCGCCUGGAGCCAACUCAUCCAUUAUCCGACAAACUGACUGCCGCAGAACGCCAGCCUCUGCUUCCAACGAUCAACAAGAUCAAAGCCCUGCUAGGCAAUGGUCUGAACGGAAUUGACCUGGUCCGAGUCUGGAUCUCAUGGCGGGUGAUCCCAUUGAGCCGCCGCCCCGGCUUAAUGUGUGAGUACACCGGGCGAAAGGAUGACCCGCAGAGGCACAGUCACAAUGAUCCUCCAGAAGACGUUGCUGAAGAAGAGACCAAGGCUCUUUUAAACGAGAGCCUGGCAGACUGUGGAAGAAUCGGGCUAGCCCCGUUCUGCAAGACCAAUCCAGCCCCAGCGGUAAGCCGCUGACUUUAACCUUUCCAUUUUGUUUUACCUGUCAUCUUACUAAGAGCUCAUUACUGUAUUUCUCAGGCUGAUGAUAAAUUCUGGCGGGUCAAGUAUGACCACGAGGCGGCCAAGAAGGCCAGGAAGGCGAAGAAAGCCGCCAAGAGAGCCGCCCCUCGCAAAAAGGGAAACAGACCCACUGCUUCGGAGCUGCUGCAAUUAAGCGAUAGCUCCGAAUCAGAGGUAACCCUUAAAUCUUUUAAAUUCUUGCAGUAUAUGUUGUCUGAUGUUGUCCGCCUUAUCAACACUUGCUUAUUGACAGGAUGACACCGGCGCCAGUAACCCGGUGGUCGAAGAGGUAACAUCACUUUCCUCCGGCUCGGAGCCUUUACCACAGCUGAAAGUCCGAAGGGUAACCCGGAAAGUAAGCUUUUCCCAUCGAUUAGCUCACCGAGACCCUCAAUUUCUUUUGAAGCAGCAGGUUCACGAGAGCCGGCGUCACACCCGGGCCCGCAAGGACACCGACCUCUCCACUGGGUUACCCGACGCAACGAGGAAACGCUGCACUGAGGUUUUUUCUCACCUGUACCCUUUUCAUCCGUUGGCGGGUGUCAUCCGUCAGCCACUCAACUCUUCUGACUCCAAUUACCAGGAGACCUCCCCCUCCUCGGGUGACUCCAUGCAGUCAAGUCUGCCGGCCUUCAAGACUGCCCCCGGGUAAUAACAAUCUCCUUACAUCAUCUGUCUGUACUUACCCUUUGUAUGCCUAACACUUCUGCCUUUUCAGUGCCCAGGCAAAGCUCACCAAAAGAGUAAAGAAGACCAGGUCAGCCGGAGUGCCCGACUUGCCUGAGCCGGAGACGACGGCUCAAGAGCCGCCAGUCGCCUCCACCCCUGAAGCCACCAUUCCCAUGGAUACAGCGCCUGAAGCCCCACCAGCUAAUGACCCGGACGUGGUAAUUACCCGGACGGAGUUUGUUGAGCCGGGAAGGCCGACCGCGCUGGCCAAAUGCUCCGCAAGGGGGGAGUUGCUACAACCCCACCGGGUGAAUCUGGAUCUCUCCAGCUACACCGACUUAAGUAUUGGAGAACUCGUCUCAGGCUAUAUCAGCCAGGUUCACAAGAGCCGGGACGCCGAGAUCGCUAUGGUCAACCAGAUCCAACACAAAUCUGAGGUAACCUUCUGCUGUUCUCUUACUUUCCGCAUAGUGAUCCUUGCCAUUCUAGCCCCCAAGUCUAGGACUUAUACUUGAAUAUGUUGUAGACUUUAGAUUCCGGCUUACUGAACUGAGCCGGCCGUACAUAGAUAGAUACGUUCAAUAUGCAUUAGCCCCCAAGUGCCAAGUGUCUUUGCUUGGAAAGCGCUUGGGACUUUAUAGGAUGACUGUUAAUAACCCGGAAAUAUAUGCAGGCUGUUGGCAAGAAAUUAGAGUCAGACCUGGCGGAUCUCAAGAGCCGGCUGAAGGCACAAGAGAUGGAGACCCGGAAGGCAAAUGCCAAGUUUGUCUCCAGCAUCGCCGCUCAGGAAAAGUUGAAGACUGAAUUCGACGCUGAGCGGAAGGCCUGGGCUGAGGAGAAAACUGCACUGGUGACCCGGGCAGAACAGGCGGAGAAGGCCCUUACUGAGAAGACCGCUGAGCUCUCCGGUCUACAGCGCCAAGUGUCCCAAAUGGUAGCUGCCAUCUUCGGUAAGUCACCUUACCGGCUUUCAUUCACAUUGGAAUGUUUACAUCUCGUAACUCAUCCUUACCACCGGGUCAUCUGAUGUUGUUAAACAGGUUCCAGAAGCGCCAACUUGAACCAGAGCGUGGUCACCAAGUUAAAGGCCGUGUACACCCUGGUGGAACAGCUCUACACCGGGUCACAGUGGGCUUUAGCUGUGGUGGCCCUGUCGAAUGAAGUGCCGACUCAUCUGGCCGAAGUCCUGCGCCGGCUCGCAGUUCUGCCGCAGCGGAUCCAGGAGCUACGACGAGCAUCCGCGAGAUCCGGAGCAAUCGCCGCACUGAGCCGGGCCAAAGCCUUCUUGCCGGAGCUAGACCCGGCAGACAUCGCCCUGGGUUAUCCCAGCCUGAAAGAAGACGGCUCAGCGUUCGAUCAGAAGGACUUCGCGGCUUGUGUGAAAGCUGUGCGCCCGGUGGCCACCAUCAUCGGGAACGACACCGAUUUAACCAAGUAUCAGCCGGGAUACAACGCGGAGAAUCAGAGGAUUCCAACCCCUCGCUAUGAAGCCAUCAAUCUGAUUCCUCCGGCUCGCCAGCACACCUUUGCCCCGGAGAUUAACCCGGACGGGUUAAUUGACGAAGAAGCUCAGUUCGAAGCUCUCAGCGGCAUCAACUGGAAGUCGUCGACCUUCGAAGCCUUGGGAUCAGCCGAAGCAGAAGAUGAGCCGGGGACUUCAACUCAGCAGGCGUCAUAAACCGGCUAGCGGCUCACCAAACAACGCCCAUCCUUGAAACUUUGAAAGAUUUUUGUAAUAGAGUAGGUGCAACAAUUUAUCUCUGCCGUGCCAUCGUGCACGUAAUGAAUGCUGAAAUCCUUUGAAGUCAUUCUUUUGAUGCUCCUCCGGGUCGGAAUUACCCCUUUGUCCUUCUCAACCUUAAAAAGUGCCUUUAAAUAUCUGCAUAGAAAGGCAAAUUACAAGUCGCAAAGCGGCUUACCGCCCUGAGAAUCAGGUGUUUGAGAUGGAUAACCCGGGAUACGAACCAAAAAAGAUCGGUCCUUAACUAUACUCGAACAUAGCUGUGAUGACACACUUAACAGCCUGUAAGCAUACUUCCGGGUUAAAUAGCCCGGGUAGCAUGGUUGGUACCUUAACUCGAAUUUAUUUGUCUUGAUGACAUCCAUGAUGCUCAACUAACAAGAUAAACCAAAAUUAAGCCGGCAAGUGAAACCCGGCAGUACAUACUUUGACAUGAUCAAAGCAAGUUUGUGGUAAAAUAUAAAAACUUAAGGGCUUCCGGUUCGAAUACGACCAGAAACUUGGUCCAAAGGGGUUAAGCUAAGAUUCGGAUACGAUCAUAUAGCCCCCAGUGGGUUUGGCGAUGCCAAUCAAGAGGGUAUCGACAGCUAUGUUCUCUUUGGUUCGAAUACGACCCAUGUUUGAACAGGAAGCCCCCAAGUGAUUCUGAAAAUUUGUUUAACGACGCUGAUUCGAAUACGAUCCACGUCGGUUCUCAGAGGGGUUACACUAUGAUUCAAAUAUGACCAGAGGCAACUUCCCAAUGAGCUCGGCACUUUGCCAAUCAAAUGGGUAUCGACAGCUAUGUUCUCUUUGGUUCGAAUACGACCCAUGUGUGAACAGGAAGCCCCCAAGCGACUUUACUGCUUACAGCUAGAUUCGAAGAUGAUCAUAAGCCGGAUCUUCUGUAAGUCAGCAUGUAACAACACACAUUUUUGGAAGAGAGCAAAGGACAGAGGUCCUGCUUUAUUGCUUUAUCAUAAUAUAUACAUGGCUGAGAUAAAUAUGUACAUCACAAGAGUCGGAAUCUCAAGUGUAGUAAAGCCGAAGCUGAGCUAUGUUCCACGGCCGACGGGUCUCCUCCUCAGAUUUACGUGAGUCCUUAUGCUCCCGGAUAUCAAUGAGGUAAUAUGACCCGUUGUGCAAGUUCUUACUGACCACAAAAGGCCCUUCCCAAGGUGGGGAUAACUUGUGUGCAUCUGUUUGAUCCUGGAUGAGCCGGAGCACCAGGUCGCCCUCCUGGAAGACCCGGGAUUGGACCCGGCGGCUAUGAUAACGGCGCAGGUAUUGUUGGUAAAUCGCUGAACGGGCGGCUGCCACAUCACGCUGUUCGUCCAGCAAGUCCAGAGCAUCUCGGCGCGCCUGUUCAUUAUCCGUCUCAACAUAAGCCGCCACACGAGGUGAAUCAUGACGGAUGUCGCUGGGGAGAACUGUUUCUGCUCCAUAAACCAUGAAGAAAGGCGUGAAGCCUGUAGACCUGUUAGGAGUAGUGUUGAUGCUCCAUAAAACGGAGGGCAACUCCUCCACCCAACAACCUGGCGUACGUUGCAAAGGGACCAAGAGCCGGGGUUUAAUGCCCUUCAGAAUCUCCUGGUUAGCUCUCUCAGCUUGACCAUUGGAUUGGGGGUGUGCCACUGAAGAGACAUCAAGCCGGAUAUGCUCUCUUUGACAGAACUCCUCCAUAGCGCCUUUGGACAGAUUAGUGUCGUUGUCUGUUAUGAUGCUGUGUGGAAAGCCGAAGCGGAAGAUCACCUUUUUCAUAAAUUGAACCGCCGUGGCUGCAUCGCACUUGCUAACUGGCUCAGCUUCCACCCACUUCGUGAAUUUGUCCACUGCCACCAAGAGGUGGGUCUUCUUAUCCUUGGACCGUUUAAAAGGCCCGACCAUAUCAAGCCCCCAGACCGCAAAGGGCCAAGUGAUCGGGAUCAUCCUCAAUUCCUGAGCCGGCACAUGAGCCCGUCGGGAGAACCUUUGGCAGCCAUCACAUUUACUGACCAAGUUCUCUGCAUCAGCGUGAGCCGUCAGCCAAUAAAAACCAUGACGGAAAGCCUUGGCCACAAGAGAUUUUGAACCGGCAUGAUGGCCACAAUCCCCUUCAUGGAUCUCGCGCAAGAUCUCUUGACCUUCCUCAGGGGAGAUACAACGCUGGAAUGCCCCUGAAACACUGCGAUGAUGCAACUCGCCAUCGAUAACAAUCAUUGACUUAGCCCGCCGGGUUAUUUGCCUGGCCAGAAUUUCAUCCUCAGGCAACUCUCCCCGGGUUAUAUAAGCCAGAUAUGGCAUUGUCCAGUCUGGUGUGAUAUGAAGAGCCGCCACCAGUCGUGCCUCCGGGUCAGGGAUAGCCAAGUCCUCCUCUGUAGGCAACUUAACCGAAGGGUUAUAUAGGACAUCCAGGAAAGUGUUAGGCGGCACCGGCUUUCGCUGAGAGCCGAGCCGGCUUAAAGCAUCAGCCGCCUCAUUCUUCCUACGGUCAAUGUGCUCCACUUGAUAUCCCUGAAAGUGCCCGGCAAUGGCAUCAACCUUGCGGCGAUAAGCCGCCACUAGAGGAUCCUUAGAAUCCCAGGUGCCUGAUACUUGUUGAGCUACCAAGUCUGAGUCACCAAAACACCUCAGCCGGCUUAAGCUCAUCUCCUUAGCCACCCGAAGACCGUGGAGCAAAGCCUCGUACUCAGCCGCAUUAUUAGUGCAAGGAAACAUCAACCGUAGCACAUAAUGGAACUUGUCACCUUUAGGGGAAGCCAAGACCACACCAGCCCCCGAGCCCUCCAGCUGCCUGGACCCAUCAAAGUGAAUAGUCCAAUAAGUGUUAUCCGGCUUUUGCUCGGGUACUUGUGACUCUGUCCAAUCAUUGAUGAAGUCUAUCAAGGCCUGAGACUUAACAGCAGUGCGUGGCACAUAUUUGAGGUCAUGAGGUCCAAGUUCUAUAGCCCACUUAGCAAUUCUCCCUGUAGCCUCUCUGUUCUGGAUAAUAUCACCGAGAGGGGCGGAACUGACCACAGUGAUGGGAUGACCUUGAAAGUAAUGCUUAAGCUUCCGGCUCGCCAUAAAUACCCCAUACACGAGCUUCUGCCAAUGCGGAUACCGCUGCUUGGACUCAAUGAGCACCUCACUGACAUAAUAAACCGGCCGCUGAACCGGAUGCUCCUUACCUGCCUCCUGGCGCUCCACCACAAUAGCCACGCUGACAGCUCGUGCGUUUGCCGCUACAUACAGUAGCAAGGGCUCCUUAUCAACCGGAGCAGCAAGGACGGGGGGCUCUGCCAGUUGCUUUUUCAAAUCCUCGAAGGCGGUAUUAGCUGCAUCAUUCCAGACAAAGUUAUCAGUUUUCUUCAUCAAUUGAUAUAAGGGCAUAGCCUUCUCACCCAAACGGCUUAUAAACCGGCUUAACGCAGCGAUGCGACCCGCCAAACGCUAAACGUCAUUUAUACAUGCCGGCUGAGCUAGAGAAGUGAUAGCUUUGAUCUUCUCUGGGUUAGCCUCAAUGCCCCUGUCAGAAACCAAGAAGCCCAAUAGUUUGCCUGCAGGAACACCAAAAACACAUUUGGCCGGGUUAAGCAUCAUCUUAUAGACCCGGAGAUUGUCGAAGGUUUCCCUUAAGUCAUCUAUCAGGGUUUCCUCCUUGAUGGAUUUAACCACAAUGUCGUCCACGUAAGCGUGAACAUUGCGCCCGAUCUGCUUAUGAAGGCAAUUUUGCACACAACGCUGGUAAGUCGCCUGUGCACACUUGAGUCCAAAGGGCAUAGACACAUAGCAGAAGGCUCCAAAGGGAGUGAUGAACGCCGUCUUCUCCUGGUCCUUAACUGCCAUCUUAAUCUGAUGAUACCCGGAAUAAGCAUCCAAGAAGCUUAAGCGUGCACAACCUGCCGUGGCGUCAAUGAUUUGAUCGAUACGGGGGAGAGCAAAAGGAUCAGCCGGACACGCCUUGUUCAAGUCCGUGUAGUCCACACACAUCCGCCAGGUGCCGUUCUUUUUAAGUACGAGCACCGGGUUAGCCAACCACUCUGGGUGAAAAACCUCAACAAUGAACCCGGCCGCCAAAAGCCGGGCCACUUCUUCACCAAUAGCCUUCCGCCUCUCUUCGUUAAACCGUCGAAGGAACUGUCUGACCGGCUUAAAUUUUGGAUCCACAUUGAGAGUGUGCUCAGCGAGUUCUCUAGGUACACCUGGCAUGUCAGAAGGUUUCCAUGCAAAGAUGUCCCUAUUCUCACGGAUGAACUCGAUGAGCGCGCCUUCCUAUUUCGGGUCCAGAUUUGCACUGAUGCUGAACUGCUGAGACGAGUCACCUGGAACAAAAUCAACAAGUUUAGUCUCAUCGGCCGAUUUAAACUUCAUUGCUUGUUCAUUCUCCGUGGUUGGCUUUUUCAGAGAGGUCAUAUCUGUUGGGUCAACAUUGUCUUUAUAAAAUUUCAACUCUUCUGUGGCACAAACAGACUCUGCAUAAGCCGCGUCACCUUCCUCACACUCCAGAGCCACCUUCCGGCUGCCGUGAACUGUAAUGGUCCCAUUGUGACCCGGCAUCUUGAGCUGUAAGUACACAUAGCACGGCCGUGCCAUGAACUUGGCGUAAGCCGGCCGUCCGAAUAUAGCAUGGUAUGGACUUCUUAUCUUGACCACCUCAAAGGUCAACUUCUCCACCCUGUAGUUGUUCUCAUCACCAAAAGCCACUUCCAAUUCGAUCUUGCCGACUGGAUAAGCCGACUUACCGGGUACCACACCAUGGAAGAUAGUAUUUGACUGGCUGAGGUUCUUAUCAACUAGCCCCAUACGACGGAAAGUCUCAUAAUAGAGGAUGUUGAUACUGCUGCCUCCAUCCAUGAGUACCUUUGUGAAUUUAUAGCCUCCCACCUGAGGAGCCACUACUAAGGCCAGGUGGCCCGGGUUAUCCACCCGGGGAGGGUGAUCCUCCCUACUCCACACUAUGGGCUGCUCCGACCACCGUAAGUAGCGUGGAACCGCCGGCUCAACAGAAUUAACAGCCCUCUUGUGAAGCUUCUCAUCUCGUUUGCACAAACUAGUGGUGAACACGUGAUACUGUCCACCGCUAAGUUGCUUCGGGUUGGUCUGAUAACCCCCCUGUUGCUGUUGAUGACCCUGACCAGACUGUUGAUUGAAGCCCCCUUGACCGUUCUGAGGACCGGAAUUUGACCCGCCACCCGGGCCAUGAGAGCCGCCAGCGCCGGAGCCGCCUGCGCCUGGGCCGCCGCCCGGGCCAUUGUAGUUUUUAAAGGCCUUCAUGAUAGCACAAUCCUUCCACAGAUGAGUCGCUGGCUUCUCUCUAGAGCCGUGUCUCGGACAAGGUUCAUUCAACAGCUGCUCCAGAGAAGGUCCUGACCCGCCGCCUCGGGGAGGGGGCCUCCCCUUGCGUCGCUGGUUGUUGCCUUGGGUGUUGGCUACGAACUCCAGGCUGCCAUCGGCCUUGCGCUUGCCUCCUCCUUGAUUCCCCGGGUUAAACUGAGGGCUCUUUCCAUUGCCGUUCUUCUUUCCCUUCCCUGUCCUUUCAUCAUCUGAAGGGGGAUCCUUGGUACCAUCGGAAUCAGCGUAUUUGACAAGAGCCGCCAUUAGUGUACCCAUAUCCGUGCAGUCACGUUUAAGCCGCCCAAGCUUCAUCUUUAGGGGCACAAAACGACAGUUAUGUUCUAACAUCAAGACUGCAGAGCCGGCGUCCAUCUUAUCUGAUGAAUGUAUGAUCUCCUUGACCCGGCGAACCCAAUGGGUCGUGGACUCGCCCUCCUGCUGCUUAGAGUUAGUCAAAUCCACAAUUGACAUAGACUGCCUACAGGUAUCCUUGAAGUUUUGAAUGAACCGGGCCUUCAGCUCAGUCCAAGACCCAAUGGAGUUCGGUGGCAGCCCUUUUAACCACGUGCGGGCAGUUCCAUCUAACAUCAUGGUGAAAUAUUUGGCCAUGGCCGCCUCGCUGACCUCUAGCAGUUCCAUGGCCAUCUCAUAACUCUCAAUCCAGGCCGCAGGCUGUAAGUCAGCUGUAUAGUUAGGCACCUUCCUAGGGCCCUUGAAAUCCUUAGGUAAACGUUCAUUACGGAUGGCCGGCACCAAACAAGGGACACCCCCGGUCCUGGUAGAAAUACCCACAUCAACGGAUGCCGUUGGAUAACCCGGGGGGGUCUGAUAAGCCGUCAAUUGCGGCACCUGCUCCACCUCUUGCCGUGCUUGGUCUGCGGCGUAGAAGGUUCCAACAUGAGCCGGGCCAUGGCGUCGGACAUUACUUGAGCCGGUCGCCGAGACCAUGUGCCGGCUGUAGCUCGGGCUCUGGCCUGGGCGAGGAGUUGAGUGGAUCCUGUCCCGGCUGUAGGAGUACGCCUCUUGCUGCGCUAGGGCCGUCUGCAGGAGUUCCCUGACCCGGCGGGUUUCCACGGCUGCCGGAGAAUUGCCGUCAACGGGAAGAGCCGCCAGUCGUGCUGCCGCUGCUACCAUGUUCUCCAGCGGGUUAUCGUAAUGACCCGGGGGUAUUGGCACAUACUGAGGCGGGGCAGGGGGCGCCUGGGGAGGCCCCAUUACUAGUGGCUGAAUAAGGGGUCCCGACCCGGGCGCAAUGACCCCUGGUGGGUUACUGGAUCCCGCACCCGGCGUGUUGAAUAGAUUGCGCGGAUCGUAAACCGGCGGGAGUCGAGACUGGGCCUUCUGAUGCCUCCUUCUCAUGACCUCGUUGGCCGCGCUCUGAUCCAUCGUGAGUUGGAAGGACUGCGCCUGAAUCAACUGAGCCCGGGCGUCGAGAGCCGCCCGCUCCGCCGCCAGCCUGAUCCCUUCUGCUGCAAGAUCCUCUUUUGCUUUCAUCAGAUCCAAUUUUAACUGUGCCACCUCCGCGUCAUGCUGGGCUUGAUCUGCCGGGUCAACCGUGGCAGUUAACAGGGCCGUCAUCUUAUCUGUGAGAUCCAUCAGCACCUGAGCCGGGGAAGGCUCUGGAUUUUCUGAUCUGGUAGCGGGGUUCUGAACAGGCUGCGCACCAGCCAUAAAAACUCCGACCUGACUUGGCGGCUCAAAAAGGUCCGGAAUACUGUUGCCAUCGGAAUAACUCAUGAGCCUGCCAUCUUGAAGUUGGUACAACGAGUUUGACUCAUCAGCGGCCGACUCGCCGUCAGAGCCGGCGGCCGCCUCAUCCCCAGACCCAGAUGGAUCGGAGGGCCUUCCAUGGAUGCAUCCCACAAAAGCGCGUUUUAAGGCAGGCCGGGCCCGGGCGGAUCGGGCGCGCUGAGCCGUUUCGAUGAGAUCGGCACAGAGACCCGGCUCGGGGCCCGGCUCACCAAUCUUGCCAAUGAAGACAUGAAUUCCGCCAAAGGGGACCCGGUACCCGUACUCCACUGAGCCGGCGUCGGGGCCCCAGUCCGCGUCGUCGAUGUAGAGCCUGCCGCGACGACUCUUGGUCAUCCGGCCCGCAGCGUAUCCCUUGAGCCCUUCGAAGCUGCCCUUCAAGAACUCAAAUCCACCGCGCGCUCGCCCCACAGUGGGCGCCAACUGUCGUGGAAUUGUCACGGCAGAUGUCCUUGGGCUAGGACUUAGUCGUGGAGCCAUCGCAACUAGGAAGCUUGAAGGGGUUAUGCGGGACAAGGAACACGAGGGUUUAUACUGGUUUGGCCUACGUCCAGUUCGAGGUGUUAUUGAUUAGGGUUACGAUCGCCAGGGAACUAAAUACUUAUCCCGGCUCUCGGAGAGAUUGUUGUCGUCCCCAAACCGCUGCCGGGUCGUCCCUUUAUAUAGGGAGGCUGACGCCCAGCAGCCCUUAGAGUCCCGAGCCGGCUCAUAAGAGUGUCCGGCUCGGGCUCUAAAACAAUACUUGCCUUACACUACAAGUCUACUAUAACAAUGAUUGUAACUACGGGCUUUAAGCCAUAUCCGGGUCUCAGCCCAUCUCUGGCCCAUUAUCCUGAAACUUAGCUCCGGGCUUCUGGUAAUGAUCCUUGGAGUAACCCGGCCCUCCUGGCGGGUGACCCCCAGGUCCAUAUCCUCAACAGAUUGUGUUUUCCUGGGAUAUGCUUUUCAUAGCAUUGGCUAUAGAUUCUUGGUUGAAAAAUCUGAGGUACCUGACAUGCAUGUCGGUACGAUCAUGGAGUCGAAUGAUGCGACUUUCUUUGAAGAUAUCUUUCCCAUGAAGGAUAUGGCUACCUCAUCUAAUCAGGAGAUGCCUGGUUCAUCGAAUCAGGAACAAGUUACAAUUACCGAACCUACCAUUUCGACGGAACACUUUGAAAGUCCUGUGGAGGAGAACAAUGAAGUUCCUAUUAGGAGCAAGAGACAGAGGACUGCAAAGUCCUUUGGUGAUGAUUUUCUUGUGUAUCUCAUAGAUGACACUCCCAGUUCUAUUUCAGAGGCCUAUGCAUCUGAAGAUGCUGACUACUGGAAGGAAGCGGUUCGUAGCGAGAUGGAUUCCAUCUUGGCGAAUGAAACUUGGGAGAUAACUGAUCGUCCUUAUGGGUGCAAACCUAUAGGAUGCAAAUGGGUAUUCAAGAAGAAGCUUAGGCCUGAUGGUACUAUUGAAAAGUACAAGGCUCGGCUCGUGGCUAAGGGUUAUACCCAAAAGGAAGGUGAAGACUUCUUUGAUACUUACUCACCUGUGGCUCGACUGACCACUAUUCGAGUUCUACUUUCACUAGCUUCCUCGCAUGGUCUUCUCGUUCAUCAAUUGGAUGUUAAGACUGCUUUCCUAAAUGGAGAGUUGGACGAGGAAAUUUAUAUGGAACAACCAGAUGGGUUGGUAAUAGAUGGUCAGGAAGGGAAAGUGUGCAAGUUGCUGAAGUCUUUGUAUGGACUUAAGCAAGCACCCAAACAGUGGCAUGAGAAGUUUGAAAGAACUUUAACAGCUGCAGGCUUUGUUGUAAACGAAGCUGACAAAUGUGUGUACUAUCACCAUGGUGGGGGCGAGGGAGUUAUCCUUUGCCUGUAUGUUGAUGACAUACUGAUUUUCAGAACAAAUCUGAAUGUUAUUAAGGAGGUCAAGGAUUUCCUAUCUCGUUGCUUUGAGAUGAAGGAUUUAGGAGCGGCUGAUGUCAUUCUGAACAUCAAGUUGUUGAGAGACGAUGAUGGUGGGAUUACAUUGCUUCAAUCUCACUAUGUGGAAAAGAUCUUGAGUCGCUUUGGCUACAGUGACUGCAAGCCCUCUCCAACACCAUAUGAUGCUAGUGUGUUGCUUCGAAAGAAUCAAAGAAUUGCUCGAGACCAAUUGAAGUAUUCUCAGAUUAUUGGCUCGCUUAUGUACUUAGCCAGUGCUACAAGACCUGACAUCUCUUUUGCUGUUAGCAAACUGAGUCGGUUUGUUUCAAAACCAGGAGAUGUGCAUUGGAAAGCUCUAGAGAGAGUUUUGCGUUAUUUGAAAGGCACUGCGAAUUAUGGAAUUCACUACACUGGGCACCCAAAGGUGCUUGAAGGGUAUAGUGACUCAAACUGGAUCUCAGAUGCUGAUGAGAUAAAGGCCAGGAGCGGGUAUGUAUUCACUCAUGGAGGUGGCGCUGUUUCUUAGAAGUCUUGCAAGUAGACCAUCUUAACGAGGUCAACAAUGAAAGCAGAACUCACAGCACUAGAUACAGCUACGGUCGAAGCAGAUUGGCUUCGUCGGCUCUUGAAUGACUUGCCGGUUGUUGAGAAACCUGUGCCGGGUAUCCUUAUGAACUGCGACAAUCAAACUGUGAUCACGAAAGUGAGCAGCUCAAAGGAUAACAUGAGUCAUCAAGACACGUUCAGAGAAGGUUAAAGUCUGUCAGGAAAAUGAAAAACUCCGGAGUUAUUGCAUUGGAUUAUAUCCAAACGUCUAAAAAUCUGGCAGAUCCUUUUACUAAGGGUCUAUCACGUAAUGUGAUAGAUAAUGCAUCGAGGGAGAUGGGUAUGAGACCCACAAUAUGAGUUGUCCAUAGUGGUAACCUAUUCUUUGUGAUCGGAGAUCCCGUGAAUUAGAUGUGGAAGACAAGCUGUUGGUCAACUGAGAGGAGAGUAUGCUUACUAUUCACAAUACCACUCCAUUUGAUGCAAUACUCUCCUAAUCUGCAUGGCAGGCUGAUGUAUAUCUUAAUGUGUUCUAAGUGGCUCAUUUAAGCAGAGAUGUUAUCCUGCAGAACAUCUUUUGAAGAACACACAUAUAUGAGUCUGAUUGUCAAACGUCGCAAUCUAUGAGAGUAGGGUUCUCUCUAGUAAACUCAUGAAAAGUCACGGAGUAUGACGCAUAAGCUCCACCCGCGGGGAAGACCCAUGGUAGCCACGUAUCGGUCAAGGCUUUAUGUGAAGCUAGAUUCGCAGAAAACUUGCAGUUCAAGGCCCACUCCACUGUUCAAGUUGCUUACUAGUGUAGCAUAGAGUUCUAGGUGGAAGUUUAACUUAACAGUCUCCACUGCAGUACCGGUAUAUAAAACAGUGUUUUGGAACCAAAGGCAAAUUUUGUGUGCCUCUGGGAUCUGGUGGGGGAUUGCUGGAAUUUUGUCUAUUUUGGGCCUAGCCCAAUAGCAGUUUCAGAAAUUCCUAAUAAAUCCUAGAGGCCCACGCAGCCCAUUCGUAAAAGGCAAGAGGUGGAACUAAAGUUUAGUCCCACAUUGCUAGUUUAGAGGGAGUUGGACCAUUUUAUAAGGGAGGUUCUUUCCCCACUUGUAUGAGCAUGAGAACAAGAGGGACAUCCACGCGCGCUCCUCCUCCGCCGCCCGCCUCGCCACGCCUCGUCACGACGCGCCGCGCCGCAGGUUGCGGGAAUGCGUCGAGCCGAUGUCUAAAUUUUUGCCACGCACUACGGGUAUACGAAAGGUCUGAAAAGAUUUUUGCGAAAGUGGAGUUCGAAUGCGAACGGUGCAGCCCUUCGGCUGCUGGCUGUUCGCUUCAUCUCCGUCUCUUCGUUUUGCCCUCUCGCCUCCUUCUGUUGCGCCUAUAAAAGGGAGGUCGCUCCUCCCAGAGAGACGCACCAGAACUACUCCUUCCCUCGCCAUCGGUUCCAUCUCUGAGCUGCUGCUGUCUUCCUCAUCCUGGCUUGCGGCGUGCACCGCACGUCCGGACAGUAGGCCUCUGAAACCGCACCUUUUGAGUCAUGUACGGGACGCGCUCAGUGCGACUACUGGCUGGUUCAUCACGGACGGUCCGGUCGCCGACGACUACUUCCCCGACGACGACUUCUUCCCUAACGUCCACGACCUCCUCGACGACAUGGCAGGCGAGGACACCGACCCCAAGUCCAGCGCUUCUGCUGCUGCUGUCCCGUACGUGUUCUUCUCCUUUCUUCUGCUGCUGCUAUCCCGUACGUGUUCUCUCCUUUCUAUUAGAGGUCCUGCUGCAGUUUCUUGUUCUAGUAUUUGCCUUAGAUAUGUUAGACUCUAUUUCAUAUAUGCAACUUGCUAUACUGUCUGCUCUAGAUAUGUUUAGUUACAGUUCAUAUAUGAAUAUGCUGUUUACCUUCUCUUUGUCAAAUCGCAUGGCUUGUUUUAUCACUACUAUUCUGAUCAUGCUUUAUCUAGUAUUUCUGUUAAUAAAAUCAUUCGGUAAAUUGCUCAUAUUUCCAACAGCUUUCACCUCACUCUGUUGUUAACAUGGCUAGAUCUGCAAUCCUUUUGGGGGAUUUUGAAUAGUAGGAAUGAUCGUAUGAUCUUUUAAUUCUGACCGUUGGAUCGUUCUUAAACAUUUUUUAAGAAGGAUUUUGUGCGACAUUCGGGACUAGACACUACUUUGUACCGAGGGAGUCAAAUCAAAGCUAGAGGGCUUUGACUCACUCAUCGUACGUGGCAUCCGCGGAGCUCCAAUGGGGUUGUCAAUGGCAAUCCAACCAGGUUGAUGACAAUCGCCAUGGUGCCACCCGCUCUUCCUUACUCGGAGAACGCCUAGCACAUCACACAACUACACGACGGGGCUUUGGAUAGAGUUGUUGCUGUGUACCGAGCAUGUAAUUGGUUUCUCUUUGGUGUAGUGGUAAUAACUUUAUCUGCAAUUUUUUUAGUUUCAUUAACUUUAGGUUUUCGUUGCCGCAAAAAAAAACUUUAGGUUUUCGUUAGUAGGCUAGACAGUUGAAUCAGAAGCUCGAACCGCUUUCUGUUGUUCUGUUUGGUCUCAUUUAUAUAUAAUAAACAUGGAAAGAGAGAAAUCAUCUGUUUUUCAAUAAUACAUUAUGGAUGGGCUCUCUGUGGCCUUAGAGUGAAGGAUGAUCUGCUGCAAAGAUGAUGUAUGUUUCCGAUAUUUAAUAAUUCAAAAUUCAAUAACAGUGCGAAUGCUCAUCUACACCCGGAGAAUAGACGUUCUUGUGCAUAUCCGAUUGAGUUGUUUCUCAGUGGUGCAAGGUAUGAAUUGGUGGUGUGGACCUACUCCAGCAAACUUGGUAUAUUUAAUUUGUCUAGUUAUUUACAACACUCUUGAACAUAACCUAGUAUUAUGAGCAUCUACAGUUAGAUACGUGAAAGUUAUAGUAACACCAUAAGAGUAUCUACAGUAGUUGAUAAGACAAAAAGUUUAGUUCCCCAUCAUCUUACAAACACAAAAAGGAAGAACAUGUCGUACGAUAGGUUAUCUCUUAGUGUUAUCUCUAACAAUUAACAUUUACGUGCUUAUGAAUUACCAACAUUGAACUGAAAACGUGUAAUUAAGACGAGAAAAUCCAUAGAAUGGUGAAAUUUUGCUUAUCUUUCUUUAUAACAUAUCCUCACGUUUGUAAGAGAAUAGAAACCUCUCGUUUAUUUUGCUCUCACCUAUAUCUACAUCAACGUUGAUUCUAAGACAACACUAUUGUACUACGUCUGAUCAUACAUAUCCUCUCCUACAACACCACAAAGCGCAAAGGUCCGGAGCUUUCCGCAUGGGAUGAUGCUGUAGCUCGCAUCCAAAGCGUAGCGUCCAAAUCACACGUACCACUAAAAGUGGCUAGGUCGACCAAAACUAACGUGUUUAGAAUGUCCUUAAGCGCAUCCGCAAAAAAAAAAAGAUGCCCUUAGGCAUGUACAAUGCAUAGCCUCAAGGUAAUGCCUCACAUGCCAUGUAGGAUCGGAUAUGACGUAAAGUAGGUUCGGAUAGGGAAUCGGGAUCCUCUCCAGGAGGCGGGUGCUUGAAGAGAAAAUGUGUGGUCCGGUGACAAAAGCUGAAAAGGUUGGAGUGAAAAGUAGAGAUGCAUGUGUAAUAGUCUUUAUUUUCUAUUUCUUAAUGAGGCCCACUAGUGGUAGCUUGCAUUGGGGAGGAAAAAUAGAUGUAGAUACCUCAAAUUACUUUUUGUCAUGGGGCAUAUGAAUCCAUAUGGCACCAUUGUACAUGCCCUUAAGCGAGAGCAGCCAAGCAAAGCCUCGGUGGACGUUGGCCCGUACGCAACACGAGAACCGCGUGAGCGAGCGCCUGCCCGAUCAUCCCUUGGUCGACGCAAACGACGCACCCGGUCCGUAGUCGGUCGCGCUGUACCACCCCAACCUGGGAUGUCCCGCACAGUCGCACACUCGCACGUACGGUGUGCCGCUUGGCUUUGGCAGGAAAUCCCGUCUCUGUCACUCCGUGGGCAUUUCUGCGAAGGCUGCCGAACGGCAUCCUGCGCAGCUUGAUUUUUCAGCAGCUAGCACUGCAUCAGCAACAAAACAUCAAGGGAGCCGGGUUUUUUUUUUAAAAAAAAAAAUCUGGUUCCUACGAAAACCCGGGCGUUUCAGACAUGCUUAACCACGGUACCACGCCGGACGUGCAUAUCGCAGACGCCAUGCACGUGAACCCGCAGCGCCAGAAGAAACACGCAUGGUGGAUGUACUGCGUGCGCACAGUAUACAGACGUACGUAGCGUAGCGUACGGCCCUCGUCGAGGACCACACGCGCGCGCGCGCGUCGAUCGACCGACAGUGGCACAGCGCAGUGCCGCUCCUUUUCGUACGUGCCCCUGGCAAGCUGGCGAAGCUCAGAGCAACAGCCAGACAGGCUCGACAACAACGGCUUAUCUCCAUCGAUCCACUGUAGCACGUUUGCCGCUGCACGCCGGCGAGGCGAUCGACGACGCGAGCCUGCCCGUCACCACAAUUUAACCACCCGGCUCCGCCAAGGCAGCCGCCGAACUUCAUCCGGAGAUGAGAUGGAUCUCCCGGGAUGCCGUUCGCUCCUCGCCAGUUCCGGGAUUACGUACAUUGGGGUGAUUUUCUCCGUUGAGUUCGACCAUACAUUAGCUGUUGCUCGAUCCCAUCCCAGGGAAGCGUGAGCUGUCGUGACACAGACAGACGUGCACGUAAUGUGCGGCGGCGUCAGGAUAUUGGCAGCCGCAGCUAUCAUAUCAAUCAGCAUUCCCCUCCCCUCCCCUCCUCCGUCAUGUUCAAUUUCGGGCUUGGUUUUCUCCGUGAUUUGAGUCGUCCAUCAAAUGCACCAGCUAGCUGGACCGAGACGCUGGAGGAAUACAUAUUUCGGCAACCAUAUGCUGGAAGGAAACGUACGCCGGCCGGAGCAAGGCAAGGAGUAGGGAUGCCCGUGUGCUGGCGGCAUGGACUAGUGGCUGGUGUUGGUGUGCACCGCGAGCCGGCCGCGUGUGGCGUGGAUGACAGCAUUUAGCCGGCCGGCAUCCAGUCGGUUAAGGUUGCCCAACCGCGACGUCUUUUUUGGGAUAAUGGAAAGAGGUUGAAAUUUCCACCUCUUCAUUCUCACAGCUGCAAAACAGCUCAGAAACCGCGACAUGUCACAUGGACUUUUUUAUUUUCACGUCGACUUUGACACUGAUAGCUAGCGCAUCUAUGUGGGUGGUGGUGCGCGCGUGCUCUUGGUCAAACGGGAAUGCUCGUGCUCAUGAGCAAUUCGACAAGAAAAACAGCUGACAUCGAACAAGCAUACCCAUUGCGAUGCGUUGAUAAGUUGAACAUCAUGUUAGUGCUCAAUUAUAGGCAGGGUACAAUCGACUCACUACUUCACUUUGACUAUGCAUCAACCAGCGGGCAUGAUGUGUGGGAUGGCAACAUUUUUCUUAAUUAACGACAUGAGGCGAAUAUUUUGCCUUUGUUUCAAAAACGCUAUGCAUCAACGAGGCCAUUCAAAUCGCAAUGCCUUGACUUGUACUCCCUCCGUCCCAAAAUUCUUGUCUUGGAUUUGUCUAGUAUCCGUAUCUAGACAAAUCUAAGACAAGAAUUUUGAGACGGAGCGAGUACUUCAAUAGCUAUAAUUAGGAAAUAUGUUCACUCAUAGGAAGCCUAAUUAAUGAGAAAAAACACCGUGCUACUUUUGGUACAUGAUAUGACUCUUGUCGCCAGAUCUGAAAUAGGGUGUUGAUUUUGGCCCACAAUGUUGAUUAUAGUACUCGUUGAACAUAAAUUUAGCAUGUAUAUAUGAUUGGGGGACAACAUAUAUUGUACAAUUUAUUUACGGGCACUAUACUAAAGAACUAAACACAUAGACGCAUAAAGGGCCUCUUUGGUUCAGAAGAUUUCUGAAGCAUAUGGCUACGUCAAACAUAACAAUCGAAUGUCACGGGAUGUUGAGUCAUACUACUACAUGAAUUAAAAACACGAUAGUGUGUAAUAGAUUGUUUGGUUGCCCAGCAGAAAAAACACACAUACAUUUUUCUGAAGGACUGAUGUAUCACAUAUGUCGUGUUUAUCAUAGAAAAACAACGGAAAUUUUUCAUGAGGUUGAACUAAAAAAAUAGUUUGACAUUAUAUACUAAAUAGGCCUUAUAAUACAAGUGCAGUGUUUUGAUGCUCUCUUUUUUGAAACAUUCAAAAAUCGCAUUUUAAAGUUUCGAAACUUUUCAAAAAAGAAAACACCUAUUUGUCUUGUUUGUGUAGCUCACGUGUUAAUGUAGUUCGCCGUGAAAACUUGCACACAUGACGUAUACAUACAUCCACAUGAUACUAUGAUGUUUUCCCCCAGAAUUUUUUAAGCAUCGAGGCAUGUUUUAGAAAAUAUCAAAAACAAAAACGAGCUCCAUGGAGCUCGAGCAUCAAAAGACAUUUCUGUUGUAAGAGCACCGAUGGUUCUAUUUUGCUCUAAGAAACGUGAUCCUACAAGAAUUACUAUGGAAUCUUUAUGAACCAAAGAGGCCAUAAAAAUGAAAACAGUAAAUUUUUUGGUCUAUUUUUUCAAGUUAAUUUGGCACUUGCAAGCCAAGAUCGAAACAUUUUGUUCUUAUCCGAUAUGCGAGGCCAAAACCUCAUCUCAUCUGGGAAACUGGGCGUCCGUUUUUCGAAACCCACGUCCGAAAACGAACCGCUUCUCUCUCCUUUUCGAAAGAAAGGUACAGCGGUGGCUGGCAUGGGGCGCUCCUCUUUACCCGAAAGGAGCGGACCGGGCCGGCCCCAUCCACGCCCGAUCGCCAGCAGGCGCGGGAGCAGAGCAGACGACAGCCGAGGAAGGAAGGAAGUCGCUGGGCGCCAAUCCCAACACCUCCUCCAACGCUAGGCUCACAGCCUAGCCGGUAGCCAGCCCCACACUCCCAUCGCACACCCUACUGGUGCUGGCCUCGCUGCGCGGCCGGUGGGUGACUGGUGGGCGUGCCGGAUGGGCAGGGCAGGGAGACCGGCCGUACUCCCCCACCACACCUGCCAUUGCCAUGCCCCCACCCCUCAUGCACCUCAUGGCUGUGCCGUGCGUUCCCUGUUCCUCCGCUUCACAAGUCCUUUUCCUUCAAAAAAUAAGGGCAACCUUGCUUGCAGGGUUGCCUUGACCAGUUGCUCCUCCAAGGUUCCAAAGGCCAGGCCAUGCUUUGGUUCAUCUGAAAACCACAGUUGUGGACAGUCGUUUCUGCUACCAUUUGCAAAAGCAUGUCGCAUGGCAAUAAUGCUUUGGAUUUUGGUUUAUCCUCUGCUACCAUUUGCAAAAGCAUGUCUCAAUCGCAAAUGAGUACUACUAGUUCAUCUUUUCACAUCUUGUGUUCUACAAAGGUCAAACUUGAAAUGGAGUAGUAGGAGGGAGGAGUAGUAGAUCACAAAGGCUCUCGGUUUCAUUUCAUUGAUAGAGGGAAACACAGCUAGCAAAGGAGGCUAAAAGUGGAGUAGCCAACUAAAAAAUCACAACCACACCACACUGCCGCUCACAAAAAAGAAGGCGAUCUGAACCAACUACUACUAACCCAUCGCCAAGAUCGAACUGCUACGGCCGCAACCAACUAAAGAACCAGCUAAAUUCUCGGCUACUUUGUACAGUUUGCUCGUCGGAUCGGAAUGAGAUGUUUGCCGCCCGGCCACCGGCGGUCACCGGAGGACGUCCGACCGCAGGUGCGAGAGCUCCUUCCUGAGCUUGUGCGAGAAGAGCCUGCACGCGUCCAUGCUCAGGUCCACGGCCGCCGCCAGGGCCACGAACGCCGCCGCGUCCUCCGCGCACCCGACGUGCGCCACCCCGACCUCCACCGUGGGCUUGCUGCACCGACCCUCGCCUUCCACCGAGGCUGACAUGACAAAGCCGCGGUAGUUCCCCAGAGGCCACUGGCUGAAGUCGCCGCUGCCACGCGGGCUGCAGCCCGGGGUGCUCCCCCGGCUCAGCGGCUGCGCGGCGGUCAGGUCGAGCGCGAACUUGCCGCCCUUGGACGCGGCGAUGGUGGAGUCCGCGAUGGGGACGGCGUGGUCCACGCCGGGGACGAGGAGGUCGAAGCGGUAGCCGAGGCUGUCGGACGACCCAGCCCCGCCGCGCUCCCGCCAGCACUCGAGGCGGCCCCACGGCUCCCACGCGCCGUCGCCCGCGGGCCGGAGGAUGAGCCACGCGCCCGGGUUGGAGCGGCUCACGCGGUCCGUCCCCGGCGAGGCCACGAACGGGGUCACCAUGGAGGCGAGCGCGACGGGGGAGCCCGAGAGGUCGUGCACCGUGACGGACCACCCCUUGCGCUCCUUCCCGGCCGCCUCCCGCUCCGUCUGCGCGACGGACCUCCGCAGGUCGCUGUUGGUGCGGCAGCCGAACUUGCAGGUGAACAUGGGCUGCUUCAUGCUGCCCCGGACCUGCAUCACCUGCGGGCUGCACUCCGGCUCGCCGUCGAACUCGAACAUGAACCGCGGGUCGGGCUCGGCGCGGACAGUGAGGCUGAGCUCCGCGGCCGCGGACCCGCCGCCCUUGCCGCCAGCCCCGCGCCUCCCGACGGAAAUCCAGCCGCUGUGCAGCACCGCGGGCUUGGCCUCGGCGCCCUUGAGAUCCAGCGAGAUGGUGGCCUUCCCGAGCAGCCGCCCGGAGCUGACGCCACAUGUAGUCCCCUUGCGGCCGGCGUAGACGGACACCUUGAGCGUGGCGGCCCCGCGGGAGGGGGAGAAGAGCGAGGGCUUGCGGGCGAACCACUCCAAAUCGGCCUUGGAGAGGUGGAAGGCCGCGGCGAGGGCGCCGGACGGGGGCUGCUCGGCGGCGGCGUCGGAGAGCACGAGCGGGGCGGCGGCGGUCUGGCAGGCCAUCUUGCCGAGGCGGAUCUUGAUGUAGCAGGGCGAGGUGGAGGGGUGGACGCCGGCGCCGGCGCCGGCGGCGGGCGGGGCCACCGGCAUUCUGAGGGCGAGGUUGCCGACCAGCACCCGCACGAACGGGCACGGGUCCAUGGCGCCGAUCGGCCAGGCAGGGUUGGAUCCGCGGCGAGCGGAGGAGGCGAGGGCGUGGGUUUGGCUCGGCUUGGAGACCCGGGAGAUAAGGUGGGAAGGAGGGAGAGAGAUUGGCGGGUGUAUAUGGGGCGGGGGGCGCGCGGCCAGGCUGGAUCCCGCUGAGCCAUGGCUGUAACCGUACACCACACCAGUCGACCCGGCUGGCGAUCGCUCUCUGCUGGGGGCGCGGUGUCAGUGGGGGUGAGGGGCGGGGUGGUGUGUGGGGGGUGAAGGGCGUGGGCGAGCUGGAGCCUGGAUGGAUGGGUCCGAGAGUGGUUGUGCGGAUGCCGCGCUGUGCCAGACGCUUGGUUUGGUUUGGUUUGGUUUCAUUCCUUCUUUUUCUCGGCUGGGAGUGGGCCUAUGCACGCAAUAGCUGGGCCAGCCGGCAAGUGGCUGGUUUAGCUCGGGUUCCACUGUCAGUGGUAGCAUAGGUACUGUAUUUUGAGAGGAACAGUGUCUUUCUACAAUGUUGUCGAUGCAUUUUACAUUUUUACUCGUAUAUUCGUAGAAGAAAAUAGCAAUGUCAUGGCUAAUGCUCCAAAACAUUGGGUACGCCAAAUUGAUCAAGAAAACAUUGGGUAUAUAAUUGAAUUUGUAUUCGAACCAAUUUUAAAGUACAUGACUUACAAUGGUUAAAUAACUCAGAAAUUCUCUGGCCAUUUCUACAAAAUAGCAAAGGAUGUGCAAAAAUAUCGAUAGAUGUAUACAUAUAGCACUUCCUUGUCGCAAGAGUUCAAACCCUAGCUUUUUUUUCGGAUAAUAUUUGCAUUACUCACAAUCAAGAAUUACACUGACAAUGUCCAGAAGUUCAUUUGGAUCAAACCCAAGCCACACAACUCUUCGGCAUUGUGAUCUUCCAAAACUUGCCAGGAAAUGACUGGCAUAUUUUUUUGUGCGUCAAACAUGAGUAAUACAAGAAUUACGCUCGGUCAAACUUUCUUUCAUCUCCUUUAUCAAAAAGACAUAUUUUGAUCUAUUGGUAUCUCCACUUUGCACCAUCUUGACUGCUUCCAUACUGUCAGAUUCAAUAUAAAUUGGUAGAUUGCUCCGCUGCACGCCAAAGCAUUAGCCCCCCGCGCCCGUAUAGCAAGAAUCUCGGCCUAUGGAACAUCAUCGCAAUCAAAUAAAUACAUGCAUGAGCUGAAGACAAUAUUACCUCCAACGUCUCUCUCAAGAUCAUUCCUGUGCCGACAACCCCAUUUAACAUAGACCCAUCUGUGUUCAGCUUCACACGUUCAGCCGUCGGUGAUUCCACGGGCUAAGGACCAACCGCUUUAAGGUGGGUAGAGCUUUUGAACUAGGUGUCGUACUCAUCAAUUAGCUCAUAAUUUGUUCAUCACUUGUCUAAAUUUAACGCUAUAUUUUGUAUCAAUGUUGUUGUACGUCAACCUGCCCCGCUUACAUCCCUAGUACCCACAUGAAUCUUCAAGCCUUGUUACCCCUGUGUGAGUGUGAAAAUGUGCAUCUACACGUUGUGCAUGAGUGCAUGGUAUUGUUCACAUCAUGACAUUUUUUGCUAGCAGCCUAGCAAGACAAAUGUCGCUACUUCUAUGGCAUCACUUUCAUGCCACGCUUGCAUCAUGUCCGGAUACUUAUCCAUUAUUUUGCCUUACCACAUUAUCUAAAAACAUUUUUUGCCAAGUUCUAUCAACAUGAGCUUAAUCAAACUUUAAAUGCAUGCCGCCACCAUGGUCCAUGGCUACGAUAGGUGUACGUAAAACACAAAUCUUUGGCGAGAUCGAAAUUUAGCUUUAUAUCUUCCAAAAUACCUAGUCAACACAACCAUAGCAAAUAUAGCUGUAAUGACUAAUGACUCGAGGCAUUGUCCAGAAAUUAAAUAAUUAAAUACGUUUGCUAAUAAAUUAACAUAGUCAAAGCAUGACUACGAUCGCAUCGGAAAAGCAGUAACCACCACUAGCUCAAGGCCAGCUAUGGCACACCCCCCUCCACCUGGGAUCAUCAGUAUACAAAUGAUCACUAUUUUACUAGAGCAACGGGAUCGCAACCGUGCCAGCGUCGUGUGGACUGUAGAAGUGCGGCAGUAGAAGUGUAUUUUGCGCUGGCGCCGGAAGCAUUUAACGUUGGGAUCUCAGGUACCCGGCGUCGUCGCUUGCGGAUCGCUGUCAUGUGCUGCAGGGCGACAGCGUGCGGCCUGCGAGCUUUUGCACGAGCGCCCGCACGCCGAAUGUUUUCAAGAGAAGAAUCCAAUGCUAGCUCCAAGCGGGCCGCACGACCCGUUCAUCCAAAGCUGGUGGGUGUGGGUGUCAGUCAGCUCACUCGCCCACUGCCGUGCCCGGCUGGAAUCCAGGUACUAUCGCCGCACGGAAAACCCUUUUACUAAUCCCGAUCGAUCCGGCGCAUGCGCGCGCGCAUGUGAGAGCACAGCGCGGCAGAGAGGAGAUGAACUGCACGCACGGGCGCCGGAGCAAUUGGCAUUAGAAAAGCGCCUGUGCGUGCCGACGUGCCGUGCCGCGCUGUCCGCGACGCACGGUGGAUGGCCUGCACAUAUCCGUAAGCCGUCGUUAAUCAUUCAUUUCCCUCCAGCGCCAUAAACUAAUCCGAACCACUGUACCUUCUCUCGAUCGUCCACGGGUGCAUCCCGCCCUCGCCCUCGCCCUCGCCCACGGAAAGCGGUGCAACUUGCGCUGCGCGGGCCCGCAUGGCAGCGAGAACAUGUGCGAUCUUGACGGAUGAAGGAGGAAGAGGCGUGGUGGAGCGGGAACGGUGCGCUGGCUGCGGCGUCGUUGGAGUCCAGGCUGGGGACAGCUGGGGGGGAUGGGCACAGCGGGAGGGAGGGCCCUAGGUGGCGCUAUCCGCCUCCGGAAUUCAGAUUCCGAUCUCGCCUCGCCCCGCCCCGAUAAAAUUCCGGGCCGCGAUUGGCCGAUCGCGCCGGGGCGGGACGGGACGGGGCCUAGUGGGUGCUGGACUGCGGGCGGGCGCGCGCUGUGUUGUGCGCCAGCGCUUCGACCACCUGUCCCAGCGGGGCGCCCGGGCCGUUCCGAUUGAUUUUCGUCGAGUGCUCCGGAGCCCGGACCGAUGGCGAAGCUUCCCCGCCCUGCGUCCACAUCCGCGGCGUCGGCUGCUUCGGGCGGUGACGCCGCGACACCUGUGCUGUGGAAUAACGGCGUGUGCAUCACAUGGAUGAUCGUGGUAGCCUUUUCUCCACGGGCCUGUCACGUUGCGGGAGGGUUAACAGUUUUUGUCCGGCUGCACUGGCGAGCAGGCAUCUCCUUCCUUCUCCCACAUCGUGUCGCCGCCAGGUUAGCACAAAGGCUGUGGCCGGGACUGGGUCUCUGAUUCUAAGAUGAUGGACACGUGCAGGUGUGUGGGCAAUCGGGCAGCACACAAGUUUGCGAGUCCAUGACGAAAUGGAUACGUACGUAGUCACCUCGCUGCACACUGCCAUUAGGUGAUUCUUCAGGCCUUUGGGCCAACCAGUUUAGAACAAGAGGGCAGCAGAAAGAUUGUCGCCCUGCGUAAUGGAAAACCGCUAAUACGGUGGUACGUUUUUCUUUUUCCUAUUUAUAAUUUCGCCAAAACAAUGCUCUAGUAGGUUGAAAUCCAUAGGGGAGGAUCUGAACAAAACGGUGACAUGGCUCCACAAUGGCGCCCUCAGGUUGGUAGGUUGAGUAGCAGGGCAGGAUAAGAGGAGAAGAGAUCAUGACAAGAGAAAGGAUAAGAGUAAGGGAUGUGGGGUAUCUGCUCCCGAACUCAAAUGCUCCCUCAUAAAUAGUAAAAUGAAAAAAAGUAAAAAAAAAUUCAAUUUGUGGUUAACUUUGACAGAUGUUUUGUAUGCUUGCAAAAUUUCAGCACAAGAUGACAUUCGUUGAUGUUGUGGCGAAAAAAAAACCGAUGCUCCAAAGUUGCUAGUUUUGAAAAUAGUUUGGACCGCUGAUUUUAAUUUUUUUCGCCACGACUUCCACAAAAGUCAUUUUGCGCCGAAUUUUGGUAUGCAUGCAAAAAAAAUGUCAAAGUUUGCCACACAAAAAAUUCAGAUUUUUUGAUUUUGCUUUUACUAUUUUUGGAUUUUGCUGUUUAUGAGGGAGCAUCUGAGCUCGGGAGCAGAAUAUGACUUUCGAAGAUUAAGUGAGCUUACCUACGACUCUCGGCUGAACAGUUCAGUACAAAUACGUUGUGCGACCUCAACCAUUGAGCUGCCAUCGAGGAUCAAGCUCGACGAGCUGGGGCUGGGGGUGAGGGGAGUUGGUGAUGAGGACGAUGGUGAGUCGGUGGGGAAGGAGGAGGAGCUCGUCGACAAGCCGCUAGCCUACCACUGCCUGUUAUUGAGCUUGGAAGGAAAGAAGUGGGGAGGGAAAGAAUGGGGCGUCGGAGGACUAGGGUUGCGCCAUUAUUACCUCUUAAGAGCAUCUGCAACCAACCACAAUUACCUAAUCUGUCCGGGCGCAUCCGUGGACGAUGACCGAGCAGGCAUCCAAAGUCCACGUCCAUAAUCGGAUCCAUCAAACCAAAUCAUCAAAUCCAUACUAGUCUCAUGCAACGAUAAAUUUUACAUAUGUAGUUCACACAUGCCAUUGGACUACCAAAAAUUGACGUGCUCUAUUAACUACGAAUGAUACGAUAAUGUAAAUAGUUCAUCCAUGGUUGCCUUUUCCCUUUCGCUUGCUGUCCCCCGUGCGAUAGUAGCCGUUGAAGACGCAAUUCAAAUCGAGGCAGAUCUGCUCGCUGCCAGAGCUGUCCGAUCCGUCAUCAUGCUUGUCCUUCUCCUCCUUGGGGGCAGUCUGGGCAUGGCACAGACAACACUGCUUUGAUCUUUAGCCAUCGCCUUGACCGCCCUCCUACGCAGCUUCUUGGCUAUGCAGGCAUGGAGGGCUUCCUCCACCUAUGGCUCGUGGGUUGCCGCCGCCGCCACCUCCGCUUGAAGGCGCGCCGCAGCCUCGCGCGGCCGGCACACUGCACCUCCUCCUUGUUUUGGCCGCGGACCAUGGAGGCAGAUAUGGCCGCGGAUCAUGUGGACGAAGCGCCACCUAAAUGGUUCCGCUGGCACAACGGGGUUGCCCUGCCAUGUGGUGGUCUCCGAUACCGGCUAGGCCGCGGUCACACGACGUGAUCCACCGGCCCCGGCGGAUCCUAGUGCCAUUUGCGCUAUGGAUUCCCGCCAGAUCGAUGAAACCGCAUGAGGAUGCACUCCUCCCGAGAUUGUCAGAGAGCAGCGAGACGCCCAUAUGCUCCUCGGAACUGCAAGGGAUGAGCUCCCAGUCCUCGAAUUCAGACAUCACGAAGUAAGUUCCGGUGACUGUCAUGAAGGACGGAACUUGGGUAUUGUGGGAGGGGACUGGAGUGGAGUGCUGCUAGUGUUUCAUCCAGAAUGCGGAUAGGGUCUAAUUUAUGUGGGGUCGGCCACAGUUGGCCGAAUCCGACGUGGCAGGCGCGUCCAGGCGUCCUCAUAUCCGCUACACAUAUGGGUUGGAUAUGGUAAGCAUUGGCCAGUUCAGGCGUUUGGGCCGGAUUUGCCAGCCACGGUUGGGUUGCAAUUUCGUGACCGGUCAAUGACAGGGUAGCCCACCCGGAUUUUAGGACGGAUACGAGGGGUCCUGCUGUAUCGUAUCCAAAACGCAUCGGUCAAGCAUACAUAAGUUGUUUUAAGAGUUAAAUACACUCUGAGUGCCUAAACUUGUCAUGUGCGGUCAGUUUAGUGCCUAAACUUGCAAAAUACACAAAAGUGAUGCCGCAACUUGUCCCGUGGUUCAAAUAGAGUGCCUCCAGACGUAUUCCGGGUAUGCACCGCCCGCGUGGCACGCCAGCGUGUCACCGGCCCACAUGUUAGUGGCUCGGGGCGACGGAGGGGCUGGGUGAGGCGCACAGCCUGGUUGUUAAGCAGAAAACCCCCUGGGCUUUAAUUAAUUCUCUCAAAAAAGCCCUCGAUCUGUAUAAGACUCGAUCCCCAAAUCCCCCUGAUUUGAAAAACAGAAACCAAAUCCCUAAACCUAGGUAGGCGACGGCGGCGGCGGUAGUGGAAUUCUUUGGUUGCUCGCCAGCGACGAGCAGUUGAAUGAGAGUAGGAGGCCAGGGCGCGGUGGGAGUAUGAUACGUCUCCAACGUAUCUAUAAUUUUUUAUUGUUCCAUGCUAUAUUAUAUUCUGUUUUGGAUGUUUAAUGGGCUUUAUUAUACACUUUUAUAUUAUUUUUGGGACUAACCUAUUAACCGGAGCCCCAGCCCAAAUUGCAGUUUUUUGCCUAUUUCAGUGUUUCGCAGAAAAGGAAUAUCAAACGGAGUCCAAACGGAAUGAAACCUUCGGGAACGUGAUUUUCGGAACAAACGUGAUCUAGAGGACUUGGAGUCUACGUAAAGCAAUCAACGAGGAGAGCACGAGGCAGGGGGCGCGCCUACCCCCCAGGCGCGCCCUCCACCCUCGUGGGGCCCUGAUACGUCUCCGUCGUAUCUAUAAUUUUUGAUUGUUCCAUGCCAAUAUUCUACAACUUUCAUAUACUUUUUGGCAAGUUUUUAUAGUAUUUUUGAGACUAACAUAUUGAUCCAGUGCCCGGUGUCAGUUCCUGUUUGUUGCAUGUUUUUGUUUUGCAGAAUAUCCAUAUCAAACGGAGUCCAAACGGGAUAAAAACGGACGGAGAUUAUUUUGGAAUAUUCGGAGAAUAUGGGAAGAAAAAUCCAUGCGAGACGGUGCCCGAGGGAGGCACGAGGCAGGGGGGCACGCCCCACCCCCCUGGGCGCGCCCCUGACCCUCAUGGACUCCCCGUAAGGCGGUUGAUGCCCUUCUUCGGCCGCAAGAAAGCUAAUUUUUAGGAAAAAUCACGGCGAAGAUUUCAGUCCAAUCGGAGUUACGGAUCUCCAUAUAUAUACAAAAAGGUGAAAGGGCAGCAGAUCAGAACGCAGAAACUGAGAGAAACAGAGAGACAGAUCCAAUCUCGGAGGGGCUCUCGCCCCUCCCACGCCAUGGAGGCCAAGGACCAUAGGGGAAACCCUUCUCCCAUCUAGGGAGGAUGUCAAGGAAGAAGAAGACGAAGGGGCCCCCUCUCCCCUUCUCUUCUGGUGGCGCCGGAACGCUGCCGUGGCCAUCAUCAUCACCGCAAUCUUCACCAACAACUUCACCGCCAUCAUCACCAACCCUUCCCCCCUCUAUGAAGCGGUGUAACCUCUCUCUUACCCGCUGUAAUCUCUACUUAAACAUGGUGUUGAACGCUAUAUAUUAUUUCCCAAUGAUGUAUGGCUAUCCUAUGAUGUUUGAGUAGAUCCGUUUUGUCCUAUGGGUUAUUUGAUGAUCAAGAUUGGUUUGAGUUGCAUGUUUUAUUAUUGGUGUUGUCCUAUGGUGCUCUCCGUGUCGCGCAAGCGUGAGGGAUUCCCGCUGUAGGGUUUGCAAUAUGUUCAUGAUUUGCUUAUGGUGGGUGGCGUGAGUGACAGAAGCACAGACCCGAGUAAGUAGGUUGUUUGCGUAUGGGAUAAAGGGGACUUGAUGCUUUAAUGCUAUGGUUGGGUUUUACCUUAAUGAUCUUUAGUAAUUGCGGAUGCUUGCUAGAGUUCCAAUCAUAAGUGCAUAUGAUCCAAGUAGAGAAAGUAUGUUAGCUUAUGCCUCUCCCUCAAAUAAAAUUGCAAUAAUGAUUACCGGUCUAGUUAUCGAUUGCCUAGGGACAAAUAACUUUCUCGUGACAACAAGCUCUUUACUAAAACUAAUUUAGUUGUGUCUUUAUAUAAACAGCCCCUACUUUUUAUUUACGUGCUCUUUAUAUUCUUUCAAAACUAUCUAAAAACACCUACAAAGUACUUCUAGUUUCAUACUUGUUCUAGGUAAAGCGAACAUUAAGUGUGCGUAGAGUUGUAUCGGUGGUCGAUAGAACUUGAGGGAAUAUUUGUUCUACCUUUAGCUCCUCGUUGGGUUCGACACUCUUACUUAUCGAAAGAGGCUACAAUUGAUCCCCUAUACUUGUGGGUUAUCAAGACCUUUUUCUGGCGCCGUUGCCGGGGAGCAAUAGAAUGGGGUGAAUAUUCUCGUGUGUGCUUGUUUGCUUUAUCACUAAGUAAUUUUUAUUUGCUGUUCUUAGUUGUUUUCUAUCUUUAGUUAUGGGUUGGAAACGUAAAAUACCAAAAAAAUUAGUUGUACCUACUGAACCAAUGAUUGAAGAACCACUCAAAAUCUAUCACACUCCUGAAGCUUAUUACUUGGAUCAUCUUCGAUCCCUAUGUGCUCGUGCUAAAACCCCAACUAGCUUACUUGAGGGCAAAUCUUUAGAUGAGCAUGCUUGUUAUGUGCGACACUGUAUAUCUAAAAAGGGAAACUUUUACUGGGUCAAAUUCAUCGUUUGCAAUGCUAUGCUUGGAAUUUAUGUGAAAUAUUUGAUUUUCUUGUUGUUCUGAAAACCCUAAGAAACACCUUCCCUACCAAUGUGAGUUUAUUGAUAAUGGAAUCGUAUCUUCGUAUGCUAAGGGUGUUUAUAAUUACUAUGAUUUUCAGCAAAUUGAAGAAUUUGUUGCUUUUAAGGGUGCUUACGAAAUUGCUUCUUUGAUUGAAACGUAUGAUGCUAUUCUUUACAAAUCUGAAAUUUUUGCCAUACUUAAAUAUUGCUAUGAUAAUUAUGCUUCUAAUGCCUAUGUUGAACCAUAUAUUGAGGACUACUCCGCUGUCCAAGAAGAGACUACUAUUUUGCUGUCGGAGUAAGUGGCCACGGGUAGCCUAACCGACUACCCCUGGCUCUUCAGAAAAUUUAUCAGGCCUUUGGGCCUUCAAGCACUCCAAGCAUUUGGGCCGCCUUCCCUGGCCGGCUACCACUAAAGCCGACUCCCGGAAGGCGACCCAGCCUCACCGACUCCAGGAAGCCGGCCAAGAAGGACGCCGGCUCCUAGAAGCCGGCCAAGACCACAACCACUCCUACAUAACGACGACCUGACGGGGCAUGGCCACAGUGCGGCCCAUGACCCCCGAAGCCCGAGGCGAGCAUGGCUACAGGGGGCCGUACGGGAGGGAUGUCUCCCGCGCGGCCCGGCACUGUAGCCACGCUAGCCACGACGUCAUCCACGACCCCCUCCUGUACGGCCCAGGACUGCGGGCCCCUUCAGCCAGAGAGAGGCGUGGAGGCGGCCCGGCUUUCCCUAGCCGGCCAGGAGCAUAGCCGGCCUCCAGAAGCCGGCGGCUCCCUUCCUCGGAGCAGGAGCCCCAUUAAGGAGACAAGACGAGGUGAGGCUACAGUGAUAGCCCCCGAGGCGGCCCACUGUAGCCACGCUCACCUCGACAAAGCCCUCAUCAUCAGAGGCACGGCUACAGUAAGCAGCCGCCGACAAAGCCCUAGACGGUGGGGCCGGCCUGUCGACCAAGUAGCCGGCAGCCGGCGGGACCCACCAGCCGGCGGGACCCAGUAGCCGGCGGAGAAGCCGGCGAGCAUAGACACUGACGACUGGGACCAGAUCCCAGUCGGAUUACCAUUGUACCCCCGGGGGGUAGGCCUAUAUAAACCCCCCGGAGCACCCAUGCAAAGGGUUGGCUUCUGGUUCGCACCUCUGCAUGUUUGGCUUCCAAGCAUAGCACACACACACACACCAUAGAUAGAGAGAAGCAAGAGCUAGCCUUUUUCUUCUUCUCCCUUGAUCCCAACAGCUCUAGGAGCGAUUGUAGCUACUCUUUAUCGAUCUAGUGAUCAUGCAGAGACCCCGCAGAGCAGGACUAGGGGUGUUAUCUCCUCGGAGAGCCCCGAACCUGGGUAAGAUUCGCCGGCGUGCAUGUCUUCGCCUCAUCCCGUUUCCAGGCACCGGCGACGUUCUAUUGGCUCCCACAAUGAUAAGCCAUCCCUUGGCAUAUGUCGCACCAACCACCCGACAUUUGGCGCCCACCGUGGGGCCAGGUGCACCGUUGUCCGGAGACCUGUUCUGGACGGGAACCCUCUUCCUUCCCCGCGAGCGCAGCUAGCCUGUUGCGCCCGAUGGCGUUUGCCCCGACGCGCUGCAAGGCGUCGACGACGCCUGUGCAGCGAGCCGCCUCGCCGAUCUGCUCGGAGAGACUCGCCUCUCCGACGAGCCUGCAUCCGACGCAGGCACCGAUUACCCCGAAAGCCGCCUCGUCAGCCUCCUCGACCAACUUCACGUCACCAGCGAGCCCGCUGCGGACAUGGAGUCUGUCGGCUCCACCGACCCGAUGCUCAUCGACUCCGACACCGCGUCGCUCGACGCCUACCCCUCCGACGUGGUGGUCUUCGACGACCCGCUCCCUCGAGCUGACAGCGGCAGCAGCGCUGUCACCGAAGUGCUGGUCAUCAGCCACGUCUCCAACUCGGGCGGGAGCGCCCGCGACGUUCAGCAAGCGGCGAUGCAUGACCUCUCCAUCCCCCUCCCGGCCGACGCCGACGCCGAGACCCUGGAGGCACGCCGUCUUGCCCUCAUCGCGGAGAGCAAGAAGAUAGCCUCGCUGAGGCCCACCAGCACGAAGUCGACCGCGCCGCCUUCGGGACGCCGCCGCCCAGCGGUCCGAGCCGAGCCGGCUUCGUCCAGAAGCGCGGCGCAGCCGUUGCCAGCAUGCUGGGCGCGGAUCGCCCCAUCUACGCCACCCCGCUCGAGAAUCUGCGAGCCGCUCAGGCGGCAGCAGAGGAGCUCAAUGGGCUGGGAGCCGAUGAGCUCUCCUACAUGACAAGACGGAUCCAGCAGCUGAUCGACGCGGCUGCAGAACGGCACGAAGCCGGCGCCCGAGCUGAUAGCCAUCCCCGCGCUGGGAACACGCUGCGACGUCCCGCUCGCCGACUGCGAGCGGCACGCGCCAGAAGAAAGACAAGGAGCCGGCUGCCAGCCGCAGCCGGACUCGCAUCACUAUCGAGCGCGACGCGGAUGGCCGCCCUCGGGCGGUCGAACACCAAGGAAACCUGCCGCCUCCCCCGCCUCGAAGAGAAAGACGCCUCACUCCGCCGCCCAUCACGCAUCCGACUCUUGGCGACCGACUCGGCCGCCGAGAAGGAGUCGGCGAGAGUGACGCCCGCCACAGGAUCGACCGCCUUGCUCGGUCCUUGGCGUUAGAAGAAGAAGACGAUGUCGGCCCGCAAUGCUUUGGCACCCGCAUCCGCGGCGAGCCCUUCCCCAAAGGGUUCUCGCUCCCCAGAGACACACCCAAGUACAACGGCUCGGUGAAGCCAGAAGAUUGGCUCAUCGACUACUCCACAGCCGUCAGCAUCGCCAACGGCAAUCGGCGCGUCGCCGUGAAGUACGUCCCCUUGAUGCUGCAGGGGACGGCACGCACGUGGCUCAACAGCCUCAAGCCAUACAGCAUCAACAGCUGGCUGGACUUCACCGAGGUUUUCGUCCGCAACUUCACCAGCACCUACAAGCGGCCUCCCAAGCCUCGCCAGCUCUCCCUCUGCGUCCAAGGGCCCAACGAGUCGACCCGCGACUACCUCACGCGAUGGGCCGAGCUCCGCAACUCCUGCGAGGGAGUGCACGAGGUCCAGGCCAUCGAGUACUUCACUGCCGGGUGCCGAGAGGGCACCCUCCUCAAGCACCGACUCCUCUGCGACGAGCCGGCUACCCUCGAUGAGUUGCUGAUCACCGCCGACAAGUAUGCCACUGCCGACUCCUCCAUGAAGACCGAGCUCCGAGUGGACGCCUCAGGGAAGGUAGUCGCUCCGGCUCCCAAGACGCCGGCUGGCGACCCAAACCUGCGCCCCUACCAGAAUGACCACAAGCGCAAGGGCCCCAUGCGGACUUCCUCCAGUCGGCAGGUGGCCACAGUUGAAGACGAGCAGCCCGAGGAGCGGCCCGCUCCCAAGAAGAAGGGAGGCCGGCCGCCCUGGCAGCCGUCCUUCUCCUACGAGCAAGCACUCGAUGCUCCCUGCAAGUUCCACAGCGGCGCGAAGCCGUCCAACCAUACAACACGUAAAUGCCACUGGCUCACCCGCAUCACCAAGGGCGAAGGGAUGGUGCCGCCUCCGCCUCCCGGCCCGCCGCCUCCAGCUCCCCAGCAGCCGGCGGCCCGGCCGGCAGUCGGCGCCAUCCAAGACGAGUUCCCCGAAGCGCACGACGCCUACGUCGUCUUCACGAGUCAGGUCGACGACAAGCGCGGCCGACGCCGGCAACACCAAGAAGUAAACGCAGUCGCCUCUAGCACCGCCGAGUUCAUGCACUGGUCGGAAAAGCCCAUCAGCUAGAGCCAGGCCGACCACCCAGAGGUGAUGCCUUCGCCUGGCUCCUAUGCUAUGGUCUUGGACGUCACCCUUGCGAUGGAGAGGCGAGCUGCCAGAUUUUCCCGCGUCCUAAUAGACGGCGGAAGCAGUAUCAACAUACUAUACCGCGACACCAUGGACAAGCUGAACAUCAAAGCAAAGCAGCUCAUGCCGAGCCGCACUGUCUUCCAUGGUAUCGUACCCGGCCUAUCUUGCUCUCCAAUCGGCAAGAUCAAAAUGGAUGUUCUCUUCGAAGACAAAGAUCACUUCCGCCGGGAAGCAAUAUGGUUCGAGGUGGUGGAUCUGGAGAGCCCCUAUCAUGCACUACUUGGCCGACCUGCUUUGGCCAAGUUCAUGGCUGUGCCCCACUAUGCCUACCUGAAGAUGAAGAUGCCGAGCUCAAAGGGGAUCAUCACGGUAGCCGGCGACUACAAGAAGUCCAUCGAGUGUGCCAUGGCCAGUAGCCGGCUGGCCGAGUCCCUCGUGGUGGCAGAAGAGAAGAGGAUGUUGGAACGGGUUGUGGCCAUGGCCGGCAAGCAGCCGGCCUUGUCCCCCAACCCCAAAGACUGUGAUGCGCAGGGCUCCUUCCAGCCUGCGAAAGAGACCAAGAAGAUGCCUCUAGACCCGGAACACCCGGAGAGGUUCGCCGUGAUUGGGGCGAACUUGGACAGUAAAUAGGAAGGCGAGCUCGCCGACUUCCUCCGUGAGAAUCGAGACAUCUUCGCAUGGUCCCCAAAGGACAUGCCAGGUGUCCCGAAGGAUUUUGCCGAGCACAAGUUACAUGUCCGAGCUGAUGCGAAGCCGGUCAGGCAACCCCUCCGCCGACUAUCAGAAGAGAAGCGAAGAAUCAUGGGAGAAGAGAUAGCCCGGCUCCUUGCAGCCGGCUUCAUCAUGGAAGUGUUCUUUCCAGAAUGGCUUGCCAAUCCAGUUCUGGUUUUGAAGAAGAAUAACAAGUGGCGCAUGUGUAUAGACUACACAAGUUUGAACAAGGCCUGCCCAAAGGAUCCGUUUGCUUUGCCACGGAUUGACCAAGUGAUAGACUCCACAGCCGGAUGCGAGCUGUUGUGUUUUUUGGAUGCAUACUCAGGGUAUCAUCAGAUCAAGUUGGACCCGGCUGACCGCCUGAAGACUGCCUUCAUCACACCCUUUGGAGCUUUCUGCUACCUGACAAUGACAUUCGGCUUGAGAAACGCCGGUGCCACUUUUCAGCGUUGCAUGCAGAAAUGUCUCUUGAAACAACUCGGCAGAAAUGCCCACGUCUACGUAGACGACAUUGUGGUGAAGACAGAGAAGCGCGGUACCUUGCUGGAAGACCUGAAGGAAACAUUUGCCAACUUGCGCCGAUUCCAGAUCAAGCUCAACCCCAAGAAGUGCGUGUUCGGAGUGCCAGCCGGCCAGCUGCUAGGCUUCCUGGUCUCCGAACGCGGCAUUGAGUGCAACCCUGUCAAGAUCAAGGCCAUCGAGAGGAUGGAGAUACCCACCAAGCUGCGAGAUGUGCAGAAGUUCACUGGCUGCUUAGCCUCCCUGAACCGAUUUAUCAGCCGACUAGGAGAGAAGGCUCUCCCCCUGUACCGACUCAUGAAGAAGUCCACUCACUUUGAGUGGAACGAUCAAGCCGACCAAGCCUUCCAUGAGUUGAAGAAAAUGUUGACCACUCCGCCUGUCCUGGCCGCGCCGACUGAGAAGGAGCCCAUGCUCCUCUACAUCGCCGCGACAAGCCGAGUCGUCAGCACUGUUGUUCUGGUCCAGCGCCCGGAGGAAGGCCGAGCCCAGCUGGUCCAGAGGCCGGUCUACUAUCUCAGCAAAGUACUGUCCAGCUCAAAGCAAAACUACCCGCACUAUCAGAAGAUGUGCUAUGGGGUGUACUUCGCCGCCAAGAAAUUGAAGCCCUACUUCCAAGAGCACCCCAUCACGGUCGUGUGCACUGCCCCGCUCGCCGAGAUCAUAGGCAGCCGGGAUGCAUCCGGCCGGGUGGCCAAAUGGGCCAUUGCCUUGGCGCCCUACACGAUCUUCUAUCAACCCCGCACCGCCAUCAAGUCGCAAGCAUUGGCCGACUUCCUCGUCGACUGGGCCGAGACCCAGUACCUACCGCCGGCUCCCGACUCCACCCAUUGGCGGAUGCACUUCGACGGGUCCAAAAUGCGCAUCGGCUUGGGAGCCGGCAUCGUCCUCACCUCUCCCAAAGGCGACAAGCUCAAGUACACGCUGCAGAUCCACUUCGCCGCCUCCAACAACGUGGCCGAGUACGAGGCGCUCGUACACGGGCUCCGGCUAGCCAAAGAGCUCGGCAUACGCCGGAUCCUGUGCUACGGCGACUCAGAUUUGGUGGUCCAGCAAUCAUCUGGCGACUGGGACGCCAAGGACGCAAACAUGGCAAGCUACCGAUUCCUCGUCCAGCAGAUGAGCGGAUACUUCGAAGGGUGCGAGUUCCUUCACGUGCCAAGGGCCGACAACGACCAAGCAGAUGCCCUAGCACGGAUCGGCUCCACCCGACAAGCCAUACCGACGGGCGUCUCCCUCCAGCGCCUCCUCAAGCCGUCCAUCAAGCCGUCUCCAGAGUCGGAUUCCAUCUUCGUACCGCCUGCGCCAGAAACAGCCGGAUCCGGCUCAAGAAACCCCGCAGGCGGCGCGGGGACUUCGACGACUGCCCCGGGGACUGACGUAGUCGAACCCGGCCCAGGGACUUCAGAACCCGGCCCGGGGACUGCAGCAGUCGGCCCGGGGACUGCAACAACACGAGAAGCGGUGGACGACUCCAAUGCAACACCCAACCCACCCACCCGAGUCAUGGUGGCCACGUUAACAGCAGAAGAAGUCACAGCUCCCUCAUGGGCCCAGCCCAUCCUCAAGUUCCUGGUCAGCAGAGAGCUGCCGGCUGAUGAGAUCGCAGCAAGACUAGUGCAACGACGAGCCGCAGCAUACACAAUAAUCAACAAGGAGCUUGUGAAGCGCAGCGUCACUGGAGUCUUGCAGCGUUGCGUCGAGCCAGAAAAAGGAGUGACAAUCCUCAAAGACAUCCACCAAGGCGAAUGCGGCCAUCACGCCGCCUCAAGAUCCCUCGUGGCCAAGGCUUUCCGCCAUGGGUUCUUCUGGCCGACUGCCUUGGAGGAUGCUAAAGAAAUAGUCAAGACCUGCAGAGGAUGUCAAGUCUUCAGUUCCAAACAACACCUGCCGGCUUCUGCCCUCAAGACCAUUCCCCUCACCUGGCCUUUUGCCGUCUGGGGACUGGACAUGGUGGGCCCUUUCAAGACGGCCCGCGGCGGCUUGACACAUCUACUCGUUGCUGUGGACAAGUUCACAAAAUGGAUCGAAGCAAAGCCGAUCAAGAAGCUGAACGGGCCGACUGCCGUGACAUUCAUCACCGACAUCACUACUCGGUACGGCGUGCCGCACAGCAUCAUCACCGACAACGGCACGAACUUCGCCAAAGGCGCACUGGCACGUUUCUGCGCGACACAGGGCAUCCGACUGGACUUAGCGUCCGUUGCCCACCCGCAGUCAAACGGCCAAGUCGAGCGAGCAAAUGGACUUAUCCUCUCCGGCAUCAAGCCCCGAUUGGUUGUACCACUGGAGCGAUCGGCCGGCUGCUGGCUCGAAGAGCUGCCGGCUGUCCUCUGGAGUCUGCGAACUACACCCAACAAGUCAACCGGCUUCACUCCAUUCUUCCUUGUGUACGGUGCCGAGGCUGUCAUCCCAACAGACAUCGAGUUCGACUCGCCUCGGAUCACCAUGUACACGGAGGAGGAAGCCAAAGAAGCAAGAGAAGACGGCGUCGACCUACUGGAAGAAGGCCGGCUGUUAGCCCUCAGCCGGUCCGCCGUCUACCAGCAAGGCCUGCGCCGCUACUACAACCGCAAGGUCAAGCCAAGAUCCUUCCAAGAGGGCGACCUUGUGCUCCGGCUGAUCCAGGGAACAGCCGGCCAGCACAAGCUCUCGGCCCCUUGGGAAGGCCCCUUCGUCGUCAGCAAGGCACUCGGCAACGACUCCUACUACUUGAUCGACGCGCAAAAGCCAAGAGCACGCAAGAGAGACGACUCCGGCAAGGAGUCGGAGCGACCAUGGAACGCAAGCCUCCUAAGACGAUUUUACAGCUAAAAAGCAGUAUGUAUCACGCUACCCCUUUUGUAUUAAAUUACAAACCAACAGGCCCCCCGAACAGUACUCGGGGACUGCCUUUUAUUUAUCUAUGAAUGACGAGUGUCAUUUCCAUGAAUGUAUUGUUACAUUUUGAACUCUUGUCCGGCACCGGGUCCGACUAGUCGGCCCGGGAACUGGCCGCCUUGAGCUAUAUUCUAAGUUGUUCCCGAAGUCAGCAAAGUAGUGUGCCGGCUCCCAAGUCCUCCCUUGUUGAAAGUCGCAGCUCAAAGAACUGACUGUCCGACUAGCAAGAGUAAAGACAGAAAAGACGCCCACACGAAAAACAGCUAAGGAACAACUAACCCAUAUAGCAAAUAGACGGCCUCCAUAUACGCCUGCCGGCUGUCACGGCAGCCGGCCGGCCGGCUUCCUAAAAAACUUAGCUUAAGUCCAGCAGAGCUCAAAGUACUUCCCCCUCCCCAAUCGGCCAGGCACUCCCCGGCUACAGUUUGUAGAACAACUGUUUGACUAGGGAGGCGGCAACCAAGGGAGGGCGGCAAAGGAAAAAAGCAGAAGGACAAAAAGCAAAAGUACAAGAAAAAGCCGAUUGCAUAACUUAUAUACAUAAAGCCGCCUAAAGGCUGGCAACAGACUUGAGUUUCAAUACACCCAGUGGGUGGAAUUGCGCAGACUUAACCAAACAUUGUUCCAAAGCAACAAGACAGGAAAACAAAAGAAAGAAGACUAAGGCAUGACUUGGAGGCCGAGCUGGUCGGUGAAGGCAGCUCGCCGGCUGAGGGGGUGGCCGCCUAGCUGGUCCCGGCUUGACCGCCUCCCGCGACAAGAGACGCACUCGCACGCGACGUAGUGCUGGAGGCGCGGUCAGGCUGGCCGGCUACUCCACCAGCCGGCUCGGCGUCUUCACCUUCCUCCUCCUCCUCUUCGCCCUCGUCGCUGGAGUCGAUCUCCUCCGCCGAGUCCUCGCCGUACGCCGGGUCCAGCCCGAACCAAUCUUCCGGCUGGGCGACUCCAUUGUCGUCCACCUCGGGGGCGAAGACGUUGGUGUCGGUGUACUCGGCGAUCGCCGAAGCCCGCCGAAUGAUGGCCGGCCGCGCCGGCUCCAGCUCCGCGUCGGCUUGCUGCCGCCAGGUAGCCAGCUGGUCCAGAUUCAUGCCUGGGUACCAGGCCUUGACGAACUCCAGUGCCCGCCCGGCUCCGGAGCGAGCCGCUGACGCCUUCCAAGCCUCGAAGCGGCCGACGGCCACCUCCAGCCAGUCAGCGGUCCGACUAGGAGUGCGCGGGAUCACUUGGCCGGGCCAGAGGGCGGCCAAGACCUGCGACCCGGCACGCUGAAGCCGGCUGGAUACGAGCCUGGAUCGCCAGGAGCUGCUCCUCCAGCGAGCGGCCGACGGUCGGCGAGAUCUCGAAGCCGGCUUGCCUCUUCGCCUGGCGACGAGCUUCGAUGGCCUGGUUGGCAGCAGUUGAGUAGCCAGGGAAGUACUCUGCGCGAAGAAGAAAAGAAAGAAGAACCCCAAAUCAGAAAAACAAGUCGAAGUAGCAGAUGGCAAGAGAGGAUGAAGGGGUAGACGACUUACCGUCAACCAGGUCCUCAAUCUGGCCAUAGCCGGAGACCAGGGUCUGCCUGGCCUCGUCCCAGCCGGCCGCCUCCGUCUCGAACUCGGCCUGGAGGGUGGCCUCGCGAUCCUGCGCAGCCUUCAGCGCAGCCUUGUGGCUUUCCUCCUGGUCGGCCAGCUUCUUGACCAGGCGGUCGCGCUCCUGCACCAAGGCGGCGAGCUCCGCGUCCUUGGCACGAAGAGCAGUCUGGGACUCCCCCAGCUGUGCCCUCAGACUGGCGUUGGCCGCUGCAGAGAUAGAAGAACAAGAAGAGCAAUGAGAAGUUAUCAAGGAAGAUCCGAGCCGACUGCUCAGCAGUCGGCCCGAAUCUCGGGGACUACACCCAGUGGGUGCGCUGACGCGCCCCCACAUGAGAUAAAGAGCAAGUCACAUACCUCGGCUUUCAGUGAGAUCGGCGGUCUUUUGCGUCAGCUCCCGAGCCUGGGAGUUGAAGGCGGCCGCUCGUAGGUUGUGAUAGUCCUGCAAGAUGGACAGAAGACCGACGUGAGAACAAAGCGGCAAAAACAAAAUCAUCAAGGAAGAUCCGAGCCGACUGCUCAGCAGUCGGCCCGAAUCUCGGGGACUACACCCAGUGGGUGCGCUGACGCGCCCCCACGAGAAAAAUCAAGAACAAGAUUAGAAUACUAACCCGGAUGGCUGCCCGCGUGGCGAGGAACUCGUCGGUGAACUGUCUCAGCACCGCGGCCUGGCCCUGGAGCCGGGUCCGGACGUCUUGUGCAGCGAUGUUCACCACGGCUGUCCCUCCGCCUCGCGUCCACCCGGAGGUAGCGCUGGCCGCCUCCGCGUCUCGGGCCGACGAGCUGGAGCCCACGGCCAGCCGUGGCUCCGACGCCGCCUUCUGCGGCUCCGACGCGGCCUUCCCUGCGCGCCGGCUUGGCGGAACCCGGACCGCCACCUCAGCUCCCGCGGCCGGCUCGCCUUCCGCCGACUGUGCGGGCGCAGGCUCAGUCUGGCCGCCUUGGGCCGCCCCAGUCGGAGGAGUCGGCCCCGGCGCCUCCCUCAAGAAGAUGACGUCAUCACCGCUCCCUCCCAGAUCCGGCUGGGAACCGCUGGCUCCCCCUGGCGAGGGAUCCGCGCCCCCGGGCGCCAUGGCGUGCAGGGGGGUGACCAUCAAGGCCUCCCCUGCCGCCGCUUCGGCCUCGGCCUCUGCCUGGGCCUUGGCUGCAGCCUCGGCAAGCGCCUUCGCCGCCUCCUCCUCCCGAGCUGCCUGGGCGGCGGCUGCCCUCCGUGCCUCCGCCUCCCGCGCUUCCUGCUCCUCCCGCACCUCCCGCGCGUUCCUUUCCGUCGCCUCCAGGAGGGCGGCGCGGGGAUCUACGCGGCGGGUGGUGCUCCCAGAGCCCCCUGGCGACUCGACAACGGAGCCGGCAGCCGCCCGCUCGAGUGACAGUGGAGCUCUGAUCAAAGAAAAGAAGACAAAGGUUCAGAAAACCCCCAAGAAAAGAAAGAAGGAGAACACACAGAAAGAGAGAAAGCUUACGCUGACACGGCCUGCGGCUGCUUCACCACUUUGCGAAAACGAGCUGCCUUCGCGGCCGCCUCUUCCCGCCUGGUGGCCGCUGCCCCACCCCUGGGCUUCUUCGUCCGGCUACCGAACAUGCCCUGGGUGGCGCGACGUUUCUGGCCUCUACCCCGAGCAGGCUGCGCGCCGGAGGAGCCCGCGCCGCGUCCGGACGCCGGCUGGCGAUGCGGGACGGCUUCGGCUUCGUCCUCGUCCGGCCAGUCCUCAAAGGUAGCGGAGAGCCCGGCGCCGCCGGCUUCACCGCCAGCCGGCUCGGUGGCGUCCUCCAUAUGGACUGCCCCCAGGUCGGGGUCCUCCUGGUCGUGCUCGGUCCGGUCGGGGACGAAACGGCGCUCCGCGUCCGCCCCGCCGGCCGGUCGAAGCAGAGGACUCUGUCGAAAAGAGCGAGCCGACGGAGUUAGAGUCGGCCCGAAGGAACUCGGCGACAAAGCUGAGAGAGAAAAAGAGAAAAAGAGAAAGGGAGCGUACCGUAGGCGGAGGAUUAGCGCGGCUGUAUGGUCCCUUGCCGAAUUGCCAGUCGUCGGGAAGCUGGCAGUUGGCGAGGUAGUUCACCAUGUCGGCCGCGUCGGCCUGCGGCAUCUCCUUGGUGCACAUCCGGCUCGGAUCGAGCUGGCCGCUCAUCUGACAGAUCAGAUGAGGCCGGCUCUGGAGCGGGAGGACCCGGCGCAUGACGAACGCGGCCAGAAGGUCGGGCCCCGUCAGGCCCUCCGACUGGACCAUCACCCGCAGGCAGGCGAUGGCGGCGUUUCCUCCCGGAGACAGCGUUACCGCCCGAAAGGACCACUGGGGCAGCCUCCCCGCCGGCGGGCCGGCUACGUAAGCCGGCAGGUUGAGGUUGUCGCCUCGGGGAGCAAUGUUCCGCACGUAGAAGUAUGACUUCUGCCACUUCUUCACCGAUUGGAUCAGCGUGAUGACGGGGAAGGGGUUGUCGGCGCCUGAUCUCCGCGACGCGAUGAAGGCGCCGGUCUGAGCCGACACGCCCCUCACACGCGUGCCCAGCUUCGACUGGAAGAACUCCCCCCAGAGCUCGAGGGUGGGGAGGACGCCGAGAUAGCCCUCGCACAGGGUGACGAAGGCCGACAGCAGCACCACCGCGUUGGGGGUGAGGUGAUGUGGCUGGAGUUGAUAGAAGUCCAGCCAGGAGCGGAAGAAAGCGCUCACUGGCAGACCGAAGCCGCGCAGGAAGUGCGAGCGGAAGACCACCCGCUCGCCCUCCUGCGGCGCCGGCCUGACCUCCUUCUCCGGCGCGAGGCGGACCUCCACUUUGUCCUUGCUGGGCAGACGCCGGGUGUCGCGGAGGAAGUCGAUGUGGUCUUGGUGAACGAUGGAGCCAUCCCAAUCCCUGCCAAGCUGCUCAACGUGGGGAGGCAUAGCGGAAGCUGGCACGGCGGCAGAGAAGCGUGCGGAGGAAGAGCGCGGCGGCGAGGCGCUGGCGCAAGAACAAGCAAGGCGAGAAGACGAAGGGAGUAGGAGGAGCGUGCGAGGGUCUGCCGCCCCCCACCUCCCCCUACUUAUAGCCUCACGCGGCCGAAGAGGCCGGACGUGGGGGGGAAGACGUGGGAUUAACCGCGCCCACUCCCCCCACGACUCGCGUUUAUUACGCAUAAGUGCGAGCCGAAACUGCCGCACGGAUCGUGCGGGCGGUUUCGGGAUACAAAGGAUCCGCGCCUGGGCCGGGGCGCGGACGUGGCGGGCCCCCUCUCUGCGGCAACGUCCCGUCUCGCGCAUGGGCUGGCAGGCUUUCCGGCUAUGUGGCGCGCCGUCAGCCCGCGGCCCGGCGCACGUGCCAGCGGGUUCCCGCCCUUCGACUCCAGAAGAUUUUGGCUCAGGCGGCGUGCCUGACCAAGGCCGGCACCCAGCUGCCGGCUUGUCACGAUAGGAAGCUGUUCGAGCUUCUCGAACCCUAUUCCACCUCGAAGCCCGAUCAGUUUCGGGGACUACUGUCGGAGUAAGUGGCCACGGGUAGCCUAACCGACUACCCCUGGCUCUUCAGAAAAUUUAUCAGGCCUUUGGGCCUUCAAGCACUCCAAUCAUUUGGGUCGCCUUCCCUGGCCGGCUACCACUAAAGCCGACUCCCGGAAGGCGACCCAGCCUCACCGACUCCAGGAAGCCGGCCAAGAAGGACGCCGGCUCCUAGAAGCCGGCCAAGACCACAACCACUCCUACAUAACGACGACCUGACGGGGCAUGGCCACAGUGCGGCCCAUGACCCCCGAAGCCCGAGGCGAGCAUGGCUACAGGGGGCCGUACGGGAGGGAUGUCUCCCGCGCGGCCCGGCACUAUAGCCACGCUAGCCACGACGUCAUCCACGACCCCCUCCUGUAUGACCCAAGGACUGCGGGCCCCUUCAGCCAGAGAGAGGCGUGGAGGCGGCCCGGCUUUCCCUAGCCGGCCAGGAGCAUAGCCGGCCUCCAGAAGCCGGCGGCUCCCUUCCUCGGAGCAGGAGCCCCAUUAAGGAGACAAGAUGAGGUGAGGCUACAGCGAUAGCCCCCGAGGCGGCCCACUGUAGCCACGCUCACCUCGACAAAGCCCUCAUCAUCAGAGGCACGGCUACAGUAAGCAGCCGCCGACAAAGCCCUAGGCGGUGGCGCCGGCCUGUCGACCAAGUAGCCGGCAGCCGGCGGGACCCACCAGCCGGCGGGACCCAGUAGCCGGCGGAGAAGCCGGCGAGCAUAGACACUGACGACUGGGACCAGAUCCCAGUCGGAUUACCAUUGUACCCCCGGGGGUAGGCCUAUAUAAACCCCCCGGAGCACCCAUGCAAAGGGUUGGCUUCUGGUUCGCACCUCUGCAUGUUUGGCUUCCAAGCAUAGCACACACACACACCAUAGAUAGAGAGAAGCAAGAGCUAGCCUUGUUCUUCUUCUCCCUUGAUCCCAACAGCUCUAGGAGCGAUUGUAGCUACUCUUUAUCGAUCUAGUGAUCAUGCGGAGACCCCGCAGAGCAGGACUAGGGGUGUUAUCUCCUCGGAGAGCCCCGAACCUGGGUAAGAUUCACCGGCGUGCAUGUCUUCGCCUCAUCCCGUUUCCAGGCACCGGCGACGUUCUAUUGGCUCCCACAAUGAUAAGCCAUCCCUUGGCAUAUGUCGCACCAACCACCCGACAUUUGCAGUAGUCUAUGGAAGAAGAAAUUGAUGAAACUGUGAGCUUAUUGGAUGAAAAAGAUGAUGAGGAGAGCGAAGAACAAAAGGAGGAAGAGCGGAUUAGCUACACGUGCCCACCUUCUAAUGAGAGUAACUCUACAACUCAUACAUUGUUUAAUUUCCCUUCGUGCUUACCGAAGGAUGAUUGCUAUGAUGAUUGUUAUGAUCCCGUUGAUUCUCUUGAAAUAUCCCUUUUUGAUGAUGCUUGCUAUGCUUGUGGCCAAGAUGCCAAUAUGAAUUAUGCUUAUGGAGAUGAACUUGAUAUAGUUCCCUAUGUUAAACAUGAAAUUGUUGCUACGCUCCCCCCUCCGGCAGGGUGCCGGAACAGGUUCCCGAUUGGUUUUUGAUGGCUACAGAGGCUUGCGGCGGCGGAACUCCCGAUCUAGGUUAUUUUCUGGAGGUUUCUGUAUUUAUAGGAAUUUUUGGCGUAUGUCUCACGUCAGGAGGGGCUCCGAGUCGUCCACGAGAUAGGGGGACGCGCCCAGGGGGGUGGGCGCGCCCUCCACCCUCGUGGACGGCUCGGGACUCUUCUAGCCCAACUCUUUUACUCCGAGGGCUUCUUUUGGUCCAUAAAAAAUUAUCAAAAAUUGGCACGUCAAUUGGACUCCGUUUGGUAUUCCUUUUCUGUAAAACUCAAAAACAAGGGAAAAAACAGAAAACUGGCGCUGGGCUCUAGGUUAAUAGGUUAGUCCCAAAAAUCAUAUAAAAUAGCAUAUAAAUGCAUAUAAAACAUCUAAGAUGGGUAAUAUAAUAGCAUGGAACAAUCAAAAAUUAUAGAUACGUUGGAGACGUAUCAUCCAUUCUUAUCUUGUUUCUCUUCUGGCUCUUUCUUCCUAUUUUUCUUUGGCCUACCCAUUACUUUUGUGUAUAUAGGUGGGAAGACAGGGAUGCCAUGCAACUUUUCCCACUUCUUCAUGUCACUCAUAGGCAUCAGGUUCCAUCCAUAGCAAUCCUUGUAGUUUUCCACUGUAUAGCACUCAUGAACCAUGCUCUCUGGUUCAAUCCUCUCGUGCCUGAAACAUGCAAUAGCAUGAUGGCAAGGUAUGGCAGAUAGCUCCCAUCUCUUACAUUCACAUCUCUCUUCCAUCCAGAAUAUAACUGCGAAUCAAUACAAUUGGAUCAAUGAUUAUGUAGGCAGAAUAAAAAGAGGAAUACAUUUAGCAACAUAGUAGCAUGGAUUAUGUUGGCAGAAAGAGGAAUACAUCCACAUUUACCAAUAAAUAUGUGGAUUAUAAAAAAUGAAUGCAUCUACAAAAGAGGAUUUUGGAUCAAACCUGUUGAAAACUUCACUCAUGUUGUUUAGAAGGAUGUCACAUUUGCUGAAAGGGGAAAAAAUGCUUUGAUCCAUGUUUUAGGUGCCAACUUCUCCACCCACUGGUAUGCAGCAAGGCUAAGUUACUUCAUCUGCUCCAUGUUCUUACUAUAAGCAAUUUCAUGUGUAGAUCUUGCUAUUGCCCAUAAAUCAUUCUUGAGUUGUUCUCCCUUGUGUAUUUUAUGAAAGUUCUGGUAGAUGUGCCUAACACAGUUUCUGUGUUCAGCAUAAGGGAAAACUUUUUGCACUGCUGCUAUUAAACCCUAAAAAGAAAUGUCAUUUGGUGAGUAAGUAUUGUAAGCAGAUGAUUACCAUGCAAUAAAUUAAAGAGGUAGCAAGUGCUAACCUUUUGCUUGUCACUCAUUAUUGUAUAUGGUGAAGAGUUGCUUAUAUUCAAGUCAUCCUUCAAAGUGGCUAAGAACCACUCCCAACUAUAUGUUGACUCAACUUCACAUAGCCCAAAUGCUAUGGGGAAAUACAUUGGGAUCAACACCAACUGCUGUAAGUAAGUUCCCUUUGUGUCUAGUUUUUAUGUGGCACCCACCGAGAAAGAUGACUUGAAUAUAAGGUACCCUCUCUUACAUGCAUCAUAUGACCAGUACAGGGUUGAGAAGUGGUCUUUUGUUUCUUUAGUCCUAUCAUCAAAAACCUCCUUAGUGCACACGAAGAACUUGCUUCCUGGGUUAGUCCUCCUAAGCUCUUGGCCAUAGUCCCACAACAUAUUGUAUUGGUCAUCAUCUUCACCUCGAAUUUGUUUAACUGCUGCUCUUCUUGCCCUACCAGCUUACUUCUCUUUGCAACCAUGUUGAAUUCCUGCUCCACUUUAUCUGAAAACUUUCUCAAAGGCAUCUUCUCAUUGUCUCUGAAUUCUUCUCUGAAUUGUGCAGUCAGGAAUGGUGCAGUCAAAGCUUUCAGAUCCCAAGCCUUGGUGCAUGUGUGAUUGUCAAGGUAUUUCUUUAUCUGAAUUCUAGUACUCCUGUUAUCUCUGCCCGCCUUCAAGUACCAAGUACAUCCAGGCUUGCAUACUACCUCAAAUUUGGUGGUCGUAUUCCUUAUCUUCUCAACCUUUACUCUGUUUCUUACACUGUAUGCAACCACAACAAGCCUUAGCUCUUUCAUAUCACCAAAAAGCAUGCCAACUCUAAAAGUUGGUGCUUUAAGGUCACUGAAUGGAUUGAAUGUGCUGAAUUUGUAUCUAAGCUUGUCUCCUUCUUCUUUUGAUAGGUUCACAUGACUGUCAUCUAGGGCAUCUUCAGGAAGUUCUCCUUCAAAGUCAGGCACAAUCUCCUUCUGUCUAUGGUCAUCAACAUCUUUGUCUACAUUGCUCUCAAACAGAUCAUCAUCACCUUGUGCUACUUCGUAAUCACUCUCAUAGAAAUCCUCAUCAGUUUCAACUUCUGCAUCUACAUGUUCGUCACUACUGUCACCUGCAUCUUCAGCACUACUGUCAUCACUGUCACAAUUGCCAUCUUCUUCCUCAAAUUCUCGAUAUGGAACCCUUGAGCUACAGCCCUCACCAAAUGACAUGAAUCUCUUUGCUUUCUUGUAGUUACAUCUCAUCUCUGUUGCAAUUUCUGGUUUCUCAAAGUUGUCCACAUUUUCUUUUCCCUUUGCUGACUUAACUGGAGUAAUAACCCUUGGCAGCUCAGGCAUCCCCUCUACCAACACAUCAUCAUCAGUUACUGACUCCAGGGUGUCACCAUGGUCUACAAGCAAGACCAAGUUCUUGUGAUCCACUGUUGCAGCAAUCAUAAGGACAAUGUGUGCAUCACAUGCAAUCAACUGAAGGCCAUCACACAAAGACUUUCCAGGUUUGCUCCAAUACACAUCUAUCUUGGACACAGCACUGUCAUAGCCCAAUUGGAGAAGAAAAACAUCAAUCCAUAGAACUGACCAAGUAUCACUGUCGCAGCUAUCAAACCAGUCCACUUCUUGAUCCAUGUAGGUCAUGUUGCUAUCACUUCCACACAAAAAACCUUUGUGAUGUAUCUCAACUGAAAACAGUCCAUCAAAUUGCCCUGCAUUAUGAAAUAGCACAUACUUUCAGUUAAAUGCAUUGCACACAUUGAGAAAAAUUCAGUUAAAUGUACUGCAAACAUUCAGACAUAUUCAGUUAACAUACUGCGCAUAACUUCAGUUAAAUGCACUGCACACAUUUAGACAAAUUCAGUUAAAUGUACUGCACAAAUUCAGUUAACAGAGUUGACACAUUCAGAGUCCGCGCACAUUCAGUGAACACCAUUCAAAUUUACUACAUGAAUCACACUACAGCUCCAGUACUAAUCUGAAUCAAUUUAACUAGAGGAAUCAUAGCACUUCUAUACCCUGUUUCGAUGGCCACAUAACCAAGACCAUCCCCUUUCAGAGAAAAAGUGCGCUGACUGAUAACCCCCAAAUAAACCCUAGCCCUAUUUUGACGUGAAAAGGGCCCAAUGCCGUCCACAGCAAUCCGCAUCUUGUAAAUAACACGGAUAAGAUGAACAUCAACCACGAGAAAUCGAAGCCCAUUACAGUGGUUAACCCUACCCUGUGAUUACGUCGUACAGGCGCGAGAAAAUUGAGAAGGAGGAACAGAGCGACGAUAGGAACUGCCUCGCCAGGACGUCGACGACACGGGCCAUCCAUCGCCUCCGUCGCCGGCCGCCGUGCCGCGCCGCACCACCUCCGCCUUGGACUGAUCGAGACUGAGGGAGAGGAAAGGAAAGGGAUACGAAACGGUGGGGACUCUGAGCGAAGGAGCACGGGAUUAAGGGUACCAAAUAGAAAAACUAAACACGGUCCCUGUUCCCGCCGUUACAGGGGCUUUUUUGAGAGAAUUAAUUAAAGCCCAGGGGGUUUUCUGCUUAACAGCCAGGCUGUGCGCCUCACCCAGCCUCUAUGUCGCCCCGAGCCACUGACAUGUGGGCCAAUGACACGCUGGCGUGCCACGCGGGUGGUGCACACCGCGGAAUACGUCUGGAGGCACUGUAUUUGAACCACGGGACAAGUUGCGGCACCACUUUUGUGUAUUUUGCAAGUCUAGGCACUAAACUGACCGCACAGAACAAGUUUAGGCACUCAUAGUGUAUUUAACUCUUGUUUUAAAUAGUUUAUAUUCCCUGAUGAUCAGGGGGUAGAUAUCCAUAUCAGAUACCUGUUUCUGCUCCCUCUGUUCCUAAAUAUUUGUCUCUCUAAAGAUUUCAACAAGUGACUACAUACGAAGCAAAAUGAGUGAAUUUACAUUAUAAAAUAUGUCUAUAUACAUCCGUAUGUGAUAGUCCAUUUGAAAUCUCCUAAAAGACAAAUAUUUAGGAACGGAGGGAGUACGAAGCAUCCAUGCAUCCUACUCCUAGAUCACGCAUCAAAUUCAUAUGCAAUCGUAUCACUAAGCUUUCUACUCUCUUUUUUUGAGUGAAAGCUUUCUACUCUCUUUUUUUUUGAGGGAAAGCUUUCUACUCUCUUUUUUUUUGAGGGAAAGCUUUCUAUUCUCUUUUUUGAGGUACACUAAGAAUUCUACUUUAUUCAGGAGGUGACGAAGGAAUAAUUCCACUCAUGCUUGUUCACGCACAAAUACAAAAGGACAGCAGAAAGCACACCUAACCCCUGGAGACGCUCGAUUUUGACGAUGUGAUACAUGCUCAAAUUAUGAGUGGGAUACAGGUAUCAUUUGGCAUCGUUGGCUGUCAGAUCUGCCAUUGGAUGCUCCAGGUUUUUCACGAUUAGAACAAGAGGGUGGCAAGAAAUUGUUGGCCUCCGACGAUUUCUAACCAUCUGGGUGGCAAAAUAUGGGCGGUAGCAGGACAGUCGCGCAUCGAAUUCAUAUAGAUGACCAUUUAACAAUUUGGGCGGUUUUUCUGUGACCAACGAAUAAUUCCACUAAUGCUUGUUUUGACCCGCACCUAAUACUCAAGAGAAGCUCAGCAUUGACAAGUGUUAUAGAUGACCAUUUAACAAUUACAGACACAUUUUCUAGCUUAAGCAAAGUCAGGGCAGCUAAGGACAACUGUUCAACAAACAAAGAUCAUAAACAACCACAGAGGGGAUAGUAGAGCACAGCAGAGACUGAUUAAGAACAGAAGCCAAGUAUGAAAACGAGGAAUAUAAAAUUAGAGCAUCAAAACAAAGCAUGGCCGGCCUUCACAAAAUAAUAAAAAUAUAAGGAUGCAGAGCAACCUUCUAACCAUAAUGGCACGACAGGAACAGAAUUAUCGGUUUCACAUGCUCAAACAGCAGUCACUAACAUGGUUUCAUGGUUUUGUCACCAGGAUUCAAACAUUAAUAGUAGUUCAUUACAUAGCUUAUAGGAUAAAGAUCAGACUUGAUGAAGCACCACAGUUCGUUGAUAAUUUCCUAGCCCUUGCUUCCUUUGAGGUUUCCAUUCUUAACGGUACUGUUAAAUAAGAGUGCAGAUUCAGAGAUCAGUAUAAAGAGAUUUUGAUAUGCAAAAUAAAAGGCAUACAGGAAAUUAGUCGCACACAAACAUUCAGGUAUUCAGGCACAAUAGCAUAUGAAUCUGAAAAAUAAUUUACCCAAACCCAAAAAUUGAAGCAUAAAACCUACAGUUAAUCAGACAAAAGUGGAAAUGGAAACAACAUUUUUCAAUCAUCUCAAUUUUCUACUAAAUCAUAAAGUAGUUGUGUAAAUAUAUACCUACUUAAUAGAUAUUUGCACAAUUGCAAUACACUCAAUGUGUUAUGCAUUGAAAUGGGCCCGUAUGCUCAAAAAAUACUUGGCAGUUAAGGGUUAGUAAAUAGUUGAAACUGGGGACAGAUGCAACAGAGCAAGACUUAUAUUGGUGGGAGCAACAAACGGAGCUAGUAUCAUGUAGUCAUGCACAACUCUGUCAGUUCCAAGAUGCCUUAUGGUUAAUAGAAAUUGCACACUGAUCAAACAGAUACAAAACAUUGCAAGGCAAAACAUGAGGUGAUGAUUGCAAAACUUGACCAGGUUUACUCUGGCAAGAGGAGCAACACACACAUCUAUUUUGAAUAGAUGAAUCUAAGAUGUCACACAUUACACCACAGUAUGUACCAACAAAUGCCAAGAGAGGCUAAAACUGCUUGACCAUACCAAGAGAGGCCUUGUAGACAGAGCAUAUAUAUUAUUCAAAGCAAAGCAUGGUGACAUAUACUAGUAUUACUCGGCAGCCAUCAAAUUCAGGCACAGAUUCAGGAAAUCCACGGACAGUGUGGCGGCGCAUACCUUGAUGAAGCCGAUGUCCUUGGCGUUGCUGCGGAAGCACUGCCUGCAGCACAUCAGCCCGUACUUGCGGAUCAGGCCAUGCGAGUUGCCGCAGACACGGCUGCAAGAAAAGAUCCAAACCACCACGCGUCACGACAUAAAACCAUCAAACAAUCCAAGGCGCAUGAAUCAUGCACAUCGAACACGAGCAUAUAAGAUUUAGAGCUAAGCUACGAGAUUGCGCCACGGAUCUACAGGUGCGGACAUGGAACCGCCUCUUGCUACCGAUCUAGGAGAGGGCGGGGUACAAGUUCCCAAUCGAUCAAGAGUAGGGAGUAGAGAGAGGAUCAUUACCAAACCCUGGAUCCGGGGCCGUAGUUCUUGGGGUGCGAGUUCCAGACGUUCGAGUGUCCCAUGGCGGCGGCGGCGGGGCGGCUUGCAACUGGAAACCCUACCUUUUGCUCUCGCCUGGCUAGAAUGAGGAGGUCGGGUCGCGAGGGCGCCGGGUUUUCUAUAUAGCCUGGCAGGCUUCACUUGCUGGGCUCACUUGUACACUUGCGAAACUUUGCCGAUCGAUGGCCUUGCGGAUACAUGGGCUGGCCUCACAGCCCGUAUUUAAGCAACCACGGCCCGGUAACUGGGGUGAUCCAUUUUUUUGGCGUCUUUUGUUUUUCAAACUCCAAAUUUCGUAGUGUUCUUUUUAUUCGCAAGAAAAUUUCGUGGUGUUCUGUUCCCUCUUGGUGAACGACACCCACUGCAGACACGGCGUGUGAUUUUAACGCUGUCUUCGGGAAUCUCCGGUUUGCAACUGAAAAGAUACUACCAACAAAUACGGAGUACUAAUGAUGCUUAAAACUGUCAAAAAAGGGGGGAAUUUCUAGAGAUUGACAGAGCAGUCAGGAGUCUCUACACCGAGUUUUUAAAUCUAAGCCGAUACGACCGAUAUAGACUGAUAUAUCAGUUUUAGGGCUCUACGGAUAUAAAUAUAACAUAUUGGUUAGUAAAUAUCGUUUCCAGACAUAUUAUCCAACAUGAACCAAAAUAUCCCAUCCGCAUGUGUUAGUUUAUCCCGCCGCCUGAUGGUGCUUCUAUCACUUUCAUCAUCGUGACACAAACAACCGGUAUGAAGAACAUGCCUGCUCAUGUUUUUGUUUUGUUUUUGAAUAAAAGCACCCAAAAGAUAUCUUAGAUCUGGUUAAUAUUAAGAAAAACAAAGGCCAGUACAAAGAAUAGACAAGUGAACGUAGAACGACUUGUACAAAAUAAAAUUACACUAUUAAAAAGCAUACUAGUCUUUUUCUUUCUUUGAUUGUACACCGCCGGCCAGAGAUUAAGAAUUACACUGAACCAACAGCAAAGAAAAACGAAACCUGUGAAUGCCCUCGCCAUACCAGAUUUUGAAGACCGCAAUAGCCGCUCGCCACUUGAGACGAGAUUUAAAAAUCGUUGAACCAUUGUAUACUGGAGCAUCACCCCAUACAGAACAGGCUUGCAAUGCAUCACCAUCAGCACAGAGUGUUGGAGAAACUGGAUCAUGCCACAGAACAACACGAAAAAAGAUGUCGAAGUCGCCACACCAAUAGCCAGCCAUAAGGUCUCCUUGUUGGGGAACGUACUAAUUUCAAAAAAAAUCCUACACACACGCAAGAUCAUGGUGAUGCAUAGCAAGGAGAGGGGAGAGUGUCGUCUACGUACCCUCGUAGACCGUAAGCGGAAGCGUUACAACAACACGGUUGAUGUAGUCGUACGUCUUCACGAUCGACCGAUCCUCAGCACCGAACGUACGGCACCUCCGCGUUCAGCACACGUUCAGCUCGGUGACGUCCCGCGAACUCACAAUCCAGUAGAGCUUCCGGGAAGAGCUUCGCCAGCACGAGGCGUGGUGACGGUGAUGAUGAUGCUACCGACGCAGAGUUUCACCUAAGCACCACUACGAUAUUACCGAGGUGGAUUAUGGUUGAGGGUGGCACCGCACACGGCUAAGAGAUCAAUCAUCAAUUGUUGUGCCUUGGGGUGCCCCCCUGCCCCCGUAUAUAAAGGAGCUAGGGGGGAGGCGGCCGGCCAGGAGGAGGGCGCACCAAGGGGGGAGUCCUACUCCCACCGGGAGUAGGACUCCUCCUUUCCUAGUAGGAGUAGGAGAAGGGAAGGAAGGGAGAGAGGAAGAGAAAAAAAAAGAAGGGCGCCGCCCCCCUCCUUGUCCAAUUCAUACUAGAGGGGGAGGGGGGGCGCGGCUGCCAUGGCCGCCCCUCCUCUUCUCCCACUAGGGCCCAUUAGGCCCAAUAUACUCCCUCGGGGGUUCUGGUAACCCCUCGGUACUCCGGUACAUGCCUGAAACCUCCCGAAACACUUCCGGUGUCCGAACAUAGUCAUCCAAUAUAUUGAUCUUUACGUCUCGACCAUUUCGAGACUCCUCGUCAUGUCCGUGAUCAUAUCCGGGACUCCGAACUACCUUCGGUACAUCAAGACACAAAAACUCAUAAUACGGAUCGUCACAGAACUUUAAGCGUGCGGACCCUACGGGUUUGAGAACUAUGUAGACAUGACUGAGACACGUCUCUGGUCAAUAACCAAUAGCGGAACCUAGAUGCUCAUAUUGGUUCCUCCAUAUUCUACGAAGAUCUUUAUCGGUCAAACCGCAUAACAAUAUACGUUGUUCCCUUUGUCAUCGGUAUGUUACUUGCCCGAGAUUCGAUCGUCGGUAUCUCAAUACCUAGCUCAAUCUCGUUACCGGCAAGUCUCUUUACUCGUUCUAUAAUGCAUCAUCCCGCAACUAACUCAUUAGUUGCAUUGCUUGCAAGGCUUAUAGUGAUGCAUUACCGAGAGGGCCCAGAGAUACCUCUCCGACAAUGGGAGUGACAAAUCCUAAUCUUGAUCUAUGCCAACUCAACAAGUACCAUCAGAGACACCUGUAGAGCACCUUUAUAAUCACCCAGUUACGUUGUGACGUUUGGUAGCACACAAAGUGUUCCUCCGGUAUUCGGGAGUUGCAUAAUCUCAUAGUCAUAGGAACAUGUAUAAGUCAUGAAGAAAGCAAUAGCAAUAUACUAAACGAUCAAGUGCUAAGCUAACGGAAUGGGUCAAGUCAAUCACAUCAUUCUCUAAUGAUGUGAUCCCGUUAAUCAAAUGACAACUCAUGUCUAUGGCUAGGAAACUUAACCAUCUUUGAUUGAACGAGCUAGUCAAGUAGAGGCAUACUAGUGACACUCUGUUUGUCUAUGUAUUCACACAUGUACUAAGUUUCCGGUUAAUAAAAUUCUAGCAUGAAUAAUAAACAUUUAUCAUGAUAUAAGGAAAUAUAAAUAACAACUUUAUUAUUGCCUCUAGGGCAUAUUUCCUUCAGUCUCCCACUUGCACUAGAGUCAAUAAUCUAGUUCACAUCAUUAGAGUCAAUAAUCUAGUUCAUAUUUCUAUGUCUACAAUGCUCCGCACGGAGCUACUUUAGCUAAAUGCUCCCACUUUCAAUAUGUAUCCAGAUUGAGACAUAGAGUCAUCUGGAUCUGUGUCAAAACUUGCAUCGACGUAACCCUUUACGACGAACCUUUUGUCACCUCCAUAAUCGAGAAACAUAUCCUUAUUCCACUAAGGAUUAUUUUGACCGCUGUUAAGUGAUCUACUCCUAGAUCACUAUUGUACUCCCUUGCCAAACUCAGUGUAGGGUAUACAAUAGAUCUGGUACACAGCAUGGCAUACUUUAUAGAACUUAUGGCUGAGGCAUAGGGAAUGACUUUCAUUCUCUUUCUAUCUUCUGCCGUGGUCAGGCUUUGAGUCUUACUCAAUUUCACAUCUUGUAACACAGGCAAGAACUCUUUCUUUGACUGUUCCAUUUUGAACUACUUCAAAAUCUUGUCAAGGUAUGUACUCAUUGAAAAAACUUAUCAAACGUCUUUAUCUAUCUCCAUAGAUCUUGAUGCUCAAUAUGUAAGCAGCUUCACCGAGGUCUUUCUUUGAAAAACUCCUUUCAAAUACUCUUUUAUGCUUUCUAGAAAAUUUCUACAUUAUUUCCAAUCAACAAUAUGUCAUUCACAUUUAUUUAUCAGAAAUGUUGUAGUGCUCCCUCUCACUUUCCUGUAAAUACAGGCUUCACUGCAAGUCUGUAUAAAACUAUAUGCUUUGAUCAACUCAUCAAAGCGUAUAUUCCAACUCCGAGAUGCUUGCACCAGUCCAUAGAUGGAUCGCUGGAGCUUGCACAUUUUGUUAGCACCUUUAGGAUCGACAAAACCUUCUGGUUGUAUCAUAUACAACUCUUCUUCCAGAAAUCCAUUCCGGAAUGCAGUUUUGACAUCCAUUUGCCAAAUUUCAUAAUCACAAAAUGCGGCAAUUGCUAACAUGAUUCGGACAGACUUAAGCAUCGCUACGGGUGAGAAAGUCUCAUCGUAGUCAACCCCUUGAACUUGUCGAAAACCUUUCGCAACAAGUCGAGCUUUGUAGACAGUAACAUUACCGUCAGCGUCAGUCUUCUUCUUGAAGAUCCAUUUAUUUUCUAUGGCUUGCCGAUCAUCGGGCAAGUCAACCAAAGUCCACACUUUGUUCUCAUACAUGGAUCCCAUCUCAGAUUUCAUGGCCUCAAGCCAUUUUGCGGAAUCUGGGCUCAUCAUCGCUUCCUCAUAGUUCGUAGGUUCAUCAUGAUCAAGUAACUUGACCUCCAGAACAGGAUUACCGUACCACUCUGGUACGGAUCUCACUCUGGUUGACCUACGAGGUUUGGUAGUAACUUGAUCUGAAGUUACAUGAUCAUCAUCAUUAGCUUCCUCACUAAUUGGUGUAGGAGUCACAGGAACAGAUUUCUGUGAUGAACUACUUUCCAAUAAGGGAGCAGGUACAUUAUACGUAUCCGUCGUAUCUACUUUUCCAAAGACUUUUGCCCUUGUUUUGGACUCUAACUUGCAUGAUUUGAAUGGAACUAACCCAAACUGACGUUGUUUUCAGCAGAAUUGCCAUGGUGUUAUUUAUGUGCAGAAACAAAAGUUCUCGGAAUGACCUGAAACUCCACGGAACUUAUUUUUGGAAAAUAAUAAAAAUAUUGGCGAAAGAAUCAAGGCCAGGGGGCCCACCACCUGUCCACGAGGGUGGGGGCACGCCUGCCCCCCCUGGGCGCACCCCCUGCCUCGUGGGCCCCCUGUUGCUCCACCGACCUCAACUCCAACUCCAUAUAUUCGUGUUCGGGGAGAAAAAAAUCAGAGAGAAAGAUUCA